CCACCAUUUUCUCUCCGAACAAACAUGUCCCCUGAGCUGGUGAACACCAAUUGUUUGCCUUGACUACCUGACACGGUCCCUGCGGUCGUUUUUGUGUCGAAGUAAGGGAAGUUGGCAUUAUCUGUUGUCAAGUUGACGGUGUUGAGCACGAGGUUUCCAUCACCUUGCAAGCGCAGCUGGAACCGCCCUUUUGUGUAGUUAGUCUCCGAUUGUCUACACGAAAGCGUCCCAUUUCUCUCAAUUGUCUGUCCAGGCAAAAUGGUGUCUGUAGGAUUGCUGAAGGUCUCCCACAAGCUCCGAGAGUUUUGGUGUUGAAGGACAAAGUUUCCGGUGUCAUUCAUGACCCCGUUCGCAACAGUCCCCAAGGUUAUUUCGGAUUUCCAUGUCUCUCCACCCUGAGGAUUGUUAAGAACUAGUCCACUGUUGGCAGUCAAGUUCAGAACUGAUCCCCUAGGUGCAACCAUGGGGUUGUUACCGUCAUAUGCAUACCAAACUACGGUUUUGUCUGGGAUUUUCGCAUACCAUAUCGAAAGCAAGAAACGAUCAUUGUUUCCGAGGGGCGAAAAUCCAAACGCGAAAUCACCGGAUGGAGAAAGCCAUGAUGAGGAGUCGCCUGUAGUUGCAGUUAGAGAACUCCCAACUGCUACUGUUCCAUUAUUUUGGGAAAUCACAGAAAUUGGUAGCAAAAACAAAGAGGAGAACAAAAGCAUCUCUACAGAAAGAGCCACUGCCAUUGCAAAAGCACCAAUUUUUCAACUUGGCUUGAUUGAUUAGCUAUAUUUCUUAGUAAAGCAUUGGUCCUGGUUAUAUCUUUAAGUAAAUGUGUGUGCACCACGUGCCUGUCAUUUUCUAAGUUUUUGCCUGGAAUUAAAGGCGUCUACACCAUUUUUUGAAGUCACACACAACAAUAUCUCCGGGCCUACAGAAUAAAUUCUCCGAAACUACACAUAUCACAAGAAUUUCACUUUCAAAAAAAAUAAUAUAAUGAAUAGUUCUAUAUAUAAUAACACCGAGAUUUUUUGUGAUAGAACUUAUUGUCUCUUUCAACUCUUUGUAAUGUUGCAAGUUGUAACAAUAUUGAUGUAAUUAGUAAUGAUCCGUGACUUGUCUCUCUCAAAUCUCUUUUCAUCCUACUCUCAUCCCUCGUCUGUUUUAUGAUUCUACUGACUUAAGCACUUAUAAAUGUUCCAAAUCAGCAAAGGACUUGUAACUUAAAUAAUUAAUAAUAUUUAUCAUUACACUCGAGAUUCAUGACUCACGCUGCAUGUGUCGGCCAUUCAAGUCCACCAGUCAAAAUUCAACAAUGGGGACCACAAAGAAAAUUUGAAAAAGUACAUGCAGAUUGAGGACGGAUACAUAGAAAAUCUGAAAACAGACCUUCAGAACCAAACAAAGACGACUAACUAAGCCUUUAAGUCAAGUGAUAAGAGACUUUUUUUUUUUUUUUUUUUGAAGAAUAUAAGAGACUUAUAUCUUCACAAAAACAAAGACGACUAAGUCUCUAUUUCUGUAUUCACAAAAAAAAAGUACUAACCGAAGUUUUUAAUGUAUGAUUACGUCGUUGGGGUAAGACACCCGAGGCCGAGUUGAGAUAAUCACAGAAUCGAGAUCCUCUUCGAAUGUCACAGUCUGGCGCAAACGGACUUAGAGACCCGAACCACUCAUUUUAAAUCAUACGACCUUCAUUAGCUUAUCCUAUUGACCCACAUCACAUAAGGGGUCCGAAUCUCUCUCUCCCCUCUCUUGACCGGUUUGGAUAUCUCGGUCUAUCGAUUUUGGAUUGCGAGAUUCAGAGAGAAUCUGAUUUCGGGUUUGAGGUCUGGUUCGAUGACCAUUUGAAGCCCGUUGAGGCGUGGCCCAUCUCAUCAGGUCGGGUCAGCCAUUUCGUACCAAGUUGAAUCCCAGGUCAGGCCAGCCAUUUCAUUAGCCUAAGAUGGACCUGACGGACGAUGCGCUUGGAUAUUGCUUACUGCGACCAAAUGGACUCAUGGGCUCAUUAGAUGAUGAGUCUGGACCUGGUGUGUGUAAAGGCCACCUCAGCUCGAUCCAUAUUCGAUCGAUACUACAGAGAAGGUGGAUAUGAGGUAAAGGUAGAGUAAGCUCCAAGUCAUGUGGAGGUCAGUCGAGAUUGAACACACGUUCAUAGAAUCAUAGUAUCAAAUUCAAGUCAAAAUUUUAACACUACGAAACCGAAAAGCAUGCAACUCCGAAAAGCAUUGUUUCAGUCCAACAACCCAAACUUCCUUAAAAAACUAAGACCAAAACGACGACAUUAGGAAACGGAAAAUCAUGCAACUCAGAAAACCAUUGCUCUAGUCCAAAUGAGGUUCUUCAAUGCCUCAAGCUUUUCUAAACACCAUAGCCUGAACCUUUUCCUUUGCGCCUUCUUUACUUCACCAGAAACGUUCUUAAUGAGCUCUUCUUCAAAUUUGGGACGAGCAGGCAUUAGGCUGUGCACAAUGCUGUAAAUGCUCCUAGCCCUUGCCACACCCUAGGCGCAUACGCGUGCAUGUCCGACCUGAGUUAUCUCAUUACGCGCGCAGUUUGAUCUUCCCGUAUUGACAUCCCUGCUGUCUAUUCUCCUGCGAAUCCUUCUACUGGUGACUUCAUCCGGGUCCAUUUUCUUGCUCCUCAGUGCAUGUUCAUCUGCUUUUCCAUGUUAAUAGAUAUAGGAAUCCUAUGAGAAACAACAUUUGACAAAACAGAACCUAAUAAUAACAACAAAACUUGACUUCAUCCUCAGUGCAUGUUCAUCUGCUUUUCCAUUUCAAAGCAGCUGACGGCAUGAUUCGUACUUGGACUCCAAGAUGUCUAGAUUAUAGGGAAACCAGCCCUCUAUCCAAAACACACAAAGAAGUGUAUUUUCCGUUUAUACCAAUUAAGUGUGUUGAAGCAUGUCCCACAUGGCCACAUCGGAAACUUGUCGAAGCUUAAAUCCUCUUAUAUAGAAAGUUGAACUACUAAUGCCAUGAGGCCUUAAUUUUGUAUAAAACCAUACUUAUUGAAUUGCACACGUGCUUAAGUUAAGGUCAGUAUUGAUGGCAAUUAGUAGUGGGCCGCUGGGCCGUCUUAAAAAAACUGGUACAAAGGGCAAUUUAUAGAAGCAGUGUUGAGAUAAGGGCAAUUCACCUGUUCCUUUUAGAAGGAUAUAUACGAAUGAAGCAAGGUUUAUCUACUCACCCGUAAUGCGGCUCAGCCCUUCAUAAAAAAGUGAAAGAUCAAAAUUACUUUUACAGCAAGAGCAAUACCAGAAGAUGUAAUCUAAAUUAUUUAUAUUUGGUUCCCUUGAAAUCCUUUUGACUGCUUCAACAUACUAUAUGCAAACAGAACCAGAACCAAGUCCAGACUCACUCGUAAGAGGAAGUCCACCGGGGGUGGGAUAGGUCGGCACCCAAUGGAAAAAACAGGCUGAGACUCAGCCAAUCCACUCCAGCCCGUGGAAUCGACUGGCACCCAGCCCAAGCCAGUCCACAGGCCGACCUAAAAUUGACAGACCUUGGGACCGGCUCAAAUGACAACUAGCUGACGCCAGCGUGGUGUCGAGGGCAAGGAGCCACGGAGGCAAGGCAAAGACCAACUUCCCCACCCCCACUAAGCUCCAUCUCGACGCCGUCAACAUCGCCAACAUGAACAAUGCCGCCAAAUUAGCUGCGACGACGAACAUCAGCAACAGCCACAGCAGCACCGUGGAGUCCUCCUCCUUGCCGUCUCCGCGCCCGCUCGACCUCACUCUCAAAACCCCCCUCUUGUCCACCGACAGCGGCUACUUCACUGCUGCGAGCGGCUUCCGCCUGCUUCCCGCUUCCCGGGAAUUAUCCUUCCGCGAAAGAUCCCCCCGCGAAACUUGUAGGUUCGACCACCCCCCCUCCCCCACGAAACAUCCCCAUAUUUUCCUUCCGGACCAAGUUUGUUCCUCUUUUAUGUAAGAAACAAAAUCCCUGCCCAGCUUUAUAAUAAUUAAUUUAUAAUAAAAAAUAAAUAUUUUUAUUAUUUUAUAAUAAAAAUAAUAUUUUAAUAAAAUUGACUAGGCUAUUUUUUGUUAGGGAUAGAGAUGCAUUGGCCUAUUACUAUUCAUUAGAGUCUAUCGGGAAUGGAUAAAUGGGUUGGGUGCUGGCAUAAAGUCCUUAGAGGUGGACUUGCUCUAAUAGGUCUCCUCAUCCACAACAAUAUCCCAGCUUUCCCUUGUCGUGGUUUUCCCAUAUUUGUGCACCUUACUGCAAAGAGAGAGCAAGUUAACUUGUCAAAGAAAAACCAGAACAAUAGAUGCCAAUGCAGUUCAGAAAGCUUAUUUCCCUUCAUACCCAUUUCCAAAGUGCUCCUCCCCACGUCCUUGACCAACCUAGACAUGAGACAACAAAAACAAAGUUACAUCAGAUUAAAUUAUUGAAAGAAAAAGGUUCACUUCUGUUGUAACAAAUUGACAUUAGAAUCAAGCAACCACGCUAUGAAAUACAAAGUUAAAAUGUAACAAUUUACUGUGUCUUAAAGGAAUCUGUGAAAUAAAAUAGUUAAACCCUAAACAACACCACUGCAAAUUAGGGGUGGGCGCGGUUCAGUUUUGAUUGAAACCAAAACCAAAACCGCAAGUUUUUGCGGUUUGGUUCGGUGCGGUUUUGAAGCCAAAACCAAAAUGAAACCAAACCGUUUGGUUCGGUUCGGUGCAAUUUCAAACGGUUUCAGUUUGGUUUUUAAGAAAAAAUGUACGAUUUGCAAUUUAACAUAUUAAAAAGCAUUUCCCAAUAGUAAUAGGAAAAUGACAUUUGUUAUGUAAACAAUUAGCAUGUUGCAUGUAGUUGUGAUGUUAAAACAUGUUUGUGCAACAAAAAGGUGUCCCUUACAAUAUUUUUCAUAAAACAAGUUGAAUAAAUUUGAAUUCAUUAAACGUGAGCGAAAUUUUCAUACUAGAAUAUGUGAUAUCAUGCUUCAAAUGAGUGGCCUUUAGUAGAUCAUUGUUCGACUCUUGAUAACAAGAUUAGUCCACCCUUGUACAUAUAUGUGUGUGUGAUGGUAUAAAAUAACAAAGGUCAUUCAAGUUAAUGAACAAAAGAGAGUGAUGAAUGAUGAUAUUCUAGUGUGGUUGAGUCCAUACUAAGUGUAUGGAUUUUAACAAACGACCAAUUAAAACAUGAAAUCUAAUAUGGACAUUUAAUUAAAUGUUUAUUAAUAUUUGCGGUGCGGUUUUCAAAAGCCAAAACCGAAACCAAACCGUUUUCUAUGUUGCGGUUCGGUUACAAAACCGAAACCGUUUCAAAACCGCAAAACCAAACCGUUCGGUGCGGUUCGAUUUGGUUCGUGUUUCGAUUUCGGUUUUCGGUUCUAAGUGCCCACCCCUACUGCAAAUAGCAUAAGAAAAUUAAAAUUAACCCUAAAGAAAUUGGGAGAGAAGAAUAUGAAAAGGGAAUACCUUUCGGCCCUUUGAGUUAUUGGAAAAAACCCAACAGAGCAAAAGAUAAGCAAAAAUACAGGAGGAAAGAAAAUAAAUUUUCAACUUGUAAGAUUCAUACGCGAACAUAUUGGCGGUCAAAAGCAUUUCGGAACUCAGAGCCAUCAAGCUUUUUGAUCUGCAUGGAAAUUAUUUAUGAAGUUUGAGAUUCUUAUAGACGCUUUAGACACAUCGACAUAUUGAAAAAGCAAUAUUCAACAACCUAGUACCCAUGCUCCAUGAAAGGUUACAGAAAAUAUGAAUGACUGGACUCUGGAGUGAGAAAGUAAAAGGACUUACCGCAUACUUCAUAUCUUCUAAGUUUGUGUAGUCUACAAUCCCUGUUGUGCCUACAAAAAAGGCAUAGGACAAAAGCUAAAUCAAUCGAAAUUCUGAUGUCUCAUGAUCUAGGUCGUAGGAUUAAACUACUGAAAUAACACUAUAUGAAAUAGCAGUGUAUAUCCCAAAAAAAGUCUGAAAUCUGGUUGAUAAUUGAAGAGUUCGAAGGGAUUUACCUUUGGAUUCUUUGGCUUUCAGAUGGAGUUUGCUUAUGUGUGGGGGAGAGAGGUGGAGCGGCUAGAGCUUGAGUAUGGAAGAGAUGAAAAAUGCAGAGAGCACCUGUUUUGGCUGAAGCAACUCACACACUCUGGACAAAUCUGCAAAUGUCUAAAAGGGGGAAAAUAUAAAAAGAAACCUUAACAACUGAAUUCAAAGAAACAUUAUUACAUUGUAAAUAACAUUUCACAAAAAAAAAAAAAAACUAAACUAAACUAAUUACACUCGGAUUGCAAUGCUAUCAUUUAAUAAUAGGAAUUCCCAUAACUUAGCAGAAGACCUGCAUCUGCAAAGGAUUCUUUAAAACCUAUUUUUUUUAACAACCCCGCACCUGCAACACAUCCAGGCAAGGUAAACCAAUAGCACCCUCAUGCUGAGCUCUUCUGUGCAUAUAUACCCCUUAUAAGUAAUCUUAAUCAAUCAGUUAUCAUGAAUAUAGUCAGUUAUCAUGAAUAUACAACUUAUAUUAAUUUUCUACAAUAUCCAACACACAAAUAUAACAGAAGAGGAAACUUUUACUUAAGCAGCACAAAAUGAUAUCCUCUGCAUUUCAUUCCAAAAUCCAUCACUCUUAUGUCUUUGCCUGCACAGUUUUUGCUCCAACAUAGCACACCAUGAUGAUAGCACUAUCAAUAAUUAAGACAUAAAGAAAGGCUAUCCUAGCUAGGUAUUAUCAUUGGAGUAAACCAACAACACCAUAAGUAAAGUAGCAGACCAAAUUUUUUCUAGAAUUGAUGUCUUAACAUGUUUAAGUAGCGAAAAGAUUACAACACAUUGGAUGUGUUAACACAUCCAUAAGCUAAUGACUCCCUCUCCAGUUUACCGCAUCAUUCUUAAUGUAUUCAACAAUGCAGCAGUAAUUAAAAGUCCUUGGAAAAUGCCAAGCUACUACAAUGACAUAACGAAAACUAUAUCUCACCAUACCCCCUUGUUGGCAUAGACAGCAUAUCCGUCCUUGUUCAGGGUGAAUCAUUAUCCUGAACUCAAUUAUCAUCAUCGUCGAGAAUGUCAAACUUUAAAUCAACCAUGCAUGGAACAAAACCUAGAAAUUAAACAAUUAUCAAAGCUUAUGAAGAAUGCUAAACCCAACUAAUUCGAAACAUAAAGUAACCCAAAAGAGAGAAAACUUAUAAAUUUUACAUAAAUUAUAAUCCUUAACAGAAGGAUGGAACAAAGCAUGUUCAUUCUUGAGAAUAGGUGUAAUUUUGCACAUUGCAUAUAUGUACAUUAAGGACGGUGGUAACAUACCUUGUAAUUUGUACAAAUUAGGAUUUUCAUUCAAAGAACCAUAAUAUACACAAUUACAAAAACAGUGAUACAAACUUGUUCUUCUCUUAAGGAAAUUACUCACAGUUGAAAUUCUGAAUGGACAAAGUUUUGGCAUCCCUUUCCGACUAUAUUUGAUUAACCUUUUUUUAAUCCAAUGAGUGCCUUCAUGAGAGAGAGAGAGAGAGAGAGAGAGAGAGAGAGAGAGAGAGAGGAAUAUUCGGUGAAAAGUAUUGCCAAAUCACACAGAGAUCAAAAUCUUGAAUAUAUAUGUUUAACCAUAUCAAAGUGAGUGUGUGAAAGGGUGUAGUCUGCAGAAAGGGCAACAUUUUCACUGCUAGAAAGUUGGAAACUAAACUUUUACACAGAUAUUGGAUUUUAUUAAUUCCCUCCGCGAAUUGAAAAGCAAAUUGUUCGAGUAAUGCAGGUAAAUUCGAUAUACAUAUGCGUUGAUCUAUGUAAGACGGUUAUAAGUUAUAACUGUAUCGUCUUAACACAAAAAAUGAUCAUAAAUGUAAGUGUCUGUAUUAUGGAAGUAAGGGACUUGCAGCAAUUGCUAUGAGCUCUAACAGCAGUCACUCCAAGUACCCUAUUAUGGAAGUAAGGGACUUAGUAAGGGACUUACAUCAAUUGCUAUGAGCUCUACCAGCAGUCUCUCAAAGUGGUGCAAGGGCUAAAAUUAUAAAUAAAAAGUAAUUUAAACAAUUUAACUUAAUAAAAUAUUGUAAUUUAAACAAUGCCUAUAUAUUCAAACAUCCCAAAACAGGAAUGAACUUCCAGAAAACAUGCGCAUGAAAAUAAACGGCAUUACUCACCCAUUGAGUUGGACCAUCAAACUAGAGCGUAAGAAGGAUCAUCAUGUACCUAUGAAACCCAAAGGAAAAUUUUAGCAACCCCAAAGCUUGUAUGCAAGCGUGAAUAAGUAUGCAUGUAUGAAUCUAUUCAUAGUGAAGAAGGCUACCUUAAGAAAUAUUUGCAUCUGCAGCUUCAUAUGGCCAUACAACAAAAAGCACCGCAUAUGAUAACAAACCCCAGCUGCACCACAAAAGGAAUAUGAUCUUCCUCUCAACUUGUAUUUGUAGUUGUUACUGUAACAUCUGCAGACAGCAUACAUAAGCACUGAUUCGAUAAUUCUAAAGGGAAAAAAGUCCUUAUUCGAUAAUGCACCAAAUCCUAUCCAAAAACCAAGUGGGUGCCAUAUCCCUAGAUUAACAGAGCAUCUUUCUUUGUUCCAAAACAAAUUGCAAUUGGCUUUGGUAAAGUAGAAAGAUUACCAGAUACCGACUCUGUUCCAUUAUUCGACUGUCCUUUUAGUUCUGUCUCUCAACAUGGGAAAUACAAUAAGACAGUAAAAACAAAAGUUAGUGAUGCUAUUACAUAGUGAAAGAAAAUAAGACAUUCACAUAUUGAUAGCUAUUUACUGUCCUUUCUCAUCAUAAUCUUGGCCCCUAUAUAUACAUAUAUUGAAUUUUGAAAGCAAUGAGAGAAAUAUACCUUUGGGGCGUCACCGCCAGAAGGGUGAGUGAGGGAUCUAAGAUGUUUAAGAGCAGGAAUUUUUAAGUAAUUUGUGUGAAAAAGUUGAAGAGCUUCGAACAUAGUGGAGUGGGUUGGCCUGGGCUAAAAUAAAGAGGAUGAACUCUAGAAAGUAGAAAAUGUUGUUGUUCAACCAAACUCAAAAGUAAAGAAACCAUAUGAUUAACAUAUAAAUAAGUUUUAUAUACCAAUGUUUACAUGUACGUUGUUUGAGAAGGUAAAUUAGCAACAUAUACAGUGAUCAAAAGAUUAACAGCAAUAAACUGCUCAUUAUUCGAAAUAUACAAGAAAGUUGUCAUUCACAUGAUCCAAAUGGCAGAGGACAAAACAGAAGGAAGCAAAUAUUAUAGCAGCAUAAGUUGAAUAAUUGCAGCAAGUAAACAAAUAGAAAGGCUAGCUAGAUUACACAAUCCAGUUCUAGGUCGGACUAACCAUGUUAGCCAUCCGCCCACCACCAGCACCGUCGGCUUCUUAUUAAAAAUGUAGAAUAGAAGACUAAAAAAUUGGAAAUGAAAGCAGGUAACAUUGAGUUUUAAUAACCAAAAAGGGACACUGUUUAAGCAGCUCCACAACAGCAAUAAUACUUGGAUGAUGACCUGCAAAAACAGAAAAGAAAACACAAAUUAAACUAAAAAAAUAUAAAAUUUAACACUAAUCCAAGGAUUAAAUAUCAAAUAUAAAUUCAUUAGGAUUGGGACCUUUGCAUUGAGGAAUAUCUACUACAUUAUGAGUUCCCUCUUGAUAAAGCCCAAUCAGGGGGUUUUUCGAUGAGCCAAGAACGGCUAACUUUGCGUGACACCGCCAUCCCCACUAACACCAAACCCAGAUAAUAUCAAGAUCAAAACUAACCAAUACCAGAAAGAUUUUUUUAUUUAAAUUUUAAGAAAAGACCUAAACUUUACGAAAUUAAGGGGGAAAACAAAGUUAAGUAAAGCACCAAUUUGCAACUGUCAAAAGUGAAAUAUGAGACUCCAACUGUCUAGAAGAACUCCGUGGCCUCAUCGACGAUGACCGGAUGGUGGAGAUUGAACUGGUGCGUACACCCGAAACACCUGAUUAUACACCGAACAGAGAACAAAAUUUAAAUCAAGUCGAACAAUAAUUAUGAGAAAAUAAACUAAAAGGGAUUUGAGCUGAGAGUUACGAUUCGAAGUGCGGGCAAUGGAGGGUGCAGGUUAGCGGCGGCAGAGAAGGGGUUGAGCUUGGGUUCAGGUCCGUUUUAGGAGGUGGAGGCUCUUGAUAGAAGAUUGGCAUUGGAGUCGUUUUACAAAUCAGUUUCUUCCUGAACAUCCUAAUGUCAGCUUCUAGAGUUUCCUGUAAAAGAACAGACAACAUUCAUAAUAAGAAAAUCUCUCUAUGCAAUCGCAGAAAUCCCUCGGGUUUCAGGAAGCAAAUGGAAAAUGAAAUGCUUUUCUCCCGUAUCUCUCUCUCUCACCUCUGUCCCAUCUCUCUGUCUCCAAAUCGCAGAAAAGAAACCCUAAACAAAUCCCUGAAAUCCCUCGCCUAAAUCCUCCUACAUUUCUCUCGGACAACCCCCUCUUUCUCUUUGCAAACCCUAAACCAAAUCUCCUAAAUCCUAUCUCAGGCACCACACAUACAGCCAAGAAGCCAAGAUAUUAAAGCAAUCUCUAUAUAAUACUUUGGAACAAUGAAGAAAAAUGGUACUUACUUGUUCCUUGUCCAAAACAGUUGGUGCCGCCGCACAUUGUUAUCAAUUGUGGGUUGAUCAAAUCCUUCAUGGCUUAGACUGCAUGAAGAAUUAGAAACUAAAAGAUGAAUAUAUGCCGUAAAUCAUCAUAUAAAUGUAACUGCAUUUAAAAAAAGAAGGGAAUGACAAAAUUGAAUUCUAUUUCAUCAGUAUGUAACUGCAUGAAAAGUUACUUUGAAUGAAGACUCGAUCAAUUUCCCCAAAGUCAUUGUUAACUGAAAAUCAAUAUCAAACCCAUAAAUACCACAUUGAAUUUGACCAAGUUAAAGGAUAAAGGCAGUCGCAUCAUCGUAUUACUCUUUGGGAAGAUCUUCUAAUAAUGGUUCUUCCUUUUUCUUGCUCUUCCUCAGAACUGCCAUAAAAACCCCAGAGAAGCAUACAAAUUCAGAAAAGAAAAGGUUCAAAACUGCCAUAAAAAAAAUCCAGAAAGCAUACAAAUUUAUCAGAAAGAAAAGUUCAAAUUACAAAUACCAAAUGAUGUGAGUGAGUAGUGAGAGGUUGUGUUAGGCACCUGAAACACAUUUUGGUUUCAAUUGAAAGGGCCAGAGACAACAUCCACAUUCUUUUUUCUUGGGUGAACUAACCAAAUCAUAUUAUAUACUAAAAUGACAUAAAAAAUCAUUCACAAACUCACAACAAAAUAGAACAAAAAGAUUCACAAAAGAUUUGGGAGUUGAGACGCUAACAAAAACAUUUCUUUUCUAAACAAAUACACAACCGCUAAUCUGGGUUUGGUCAAUUUAACUAAAACGGUGCGCUAUUUUGCAUCUAAAUAUAGUAUAUCGCUUAAAUAAAAUUAAUAAAAAAUACACAUCCAAAGCUUUUAGUCCAAAGCUAGAAUUAGGAAUAACUGAGGAAGUUAAUGAAGGCAAAGCAGAGGGUAGGAUGCAGAACAUACCAAGAGACCAGUAGGCCAUCGGGGCCGGUCUGCCGAUGAACGCUGUGUACUGGUCGACAACGCCCAACGGAGUCGGCGCAGAAAAAAAGUAAAAGUCGAAACCACCCCCAAUGACUUUGUAGGUGAGAGAAGUCCCUAUGUAGAACACAUUCAUGCCAUUGCUGUUGAGCAGCAGAACGCAGUGCGCGUAAGCCUCGUUGCCCACAUUCCGGAGAUCCAUGUAAACUGGGUGGGACCCGUACAAAUCAGUGUUGAGAUUGAUCGCCGAGAAGUCAGUGGUGAAGAUGAUGUAUGGAUCGUUCGGGUAGAGCUUGAUCCCGUGCGGCUGAGAGUUCUCUUCGAGGCCGUACAAGGAGGAGUCUUUCGGCACUCGGGUGGAUAUCUUGAUGUCUGGUCCUUAAACACCAGUACUAGUCCAAUAAACCACUCCGCUUUUAUUGAUUUUCAAUUCAUGUUCAUUCGGGUCCCAAACAAGACUGAACGGCCCCGGAGCCGGGUUGUAGGUAUCUACAUAUGAUAUAAGUGCCCAGACGUGGCCAGCACUGCGGUUGACACCUAACUUCAUACCCGGUAAAAAUGUGUCUCCAGGAUAAUCACUUCAGCAGAUCGAGGGUGAUUUGAGGUGUUUUCCCGCUGAAUUGGACUUCGACCCAGGUAUGAAAGUUGUUCCUCUUAUCGAGAUCUUCAUUCAUGUAAAAUUUGGGAAUUUUAGAAUUGUUGAAUUCUUCGGCGAGUCAGGGCUACCAGCCGCCACGUGCUUCGGCGCGUGGCCCUUUGGCCGCCGUCCCAUGGCGGCUCGUGCGGUGAUGUAUGCAGGAAAACCUAAGGUUCCUCCUUAGGUUUUUCGAUGUACCAAACCCGAAUCCGCCGUCCUUUUUCCAAAAUUCUAACGUUUUCAUAGAGUUUUAUUAAACGACCUUUAAUUGUGUUUAGGUGCAUCGGUGGAAGUGACCUCAUUCUUGAUGGUUCGAGCGGCUUUCGGGCAAUGGAAAACUUGUGAGUAGACCCCUUCUAAACUUAUAUAUUGUUAUAAAAUAUUAGCCUAGCAUGCAUUCCAUAUUUCAUGAUUUGAAUAUGAUUUAUAAUAUGCUUUAUGGACUUUUAAUUAUGGUUUACGAAAUAGUUUGAUUUAUCGAAAUUACGUUUUAUUAGGUAUUGAAUUAUUGGAUUUGCAUAUAUGGAUUUCUAUGGUUUUCAAAUACGAUUUAUAUUACGGUUUUACGAACAUGAAUUAUUUUAUGGAUUUCAUGAAUACAAUUUAUCUUGGAUUUAUGAGAUGAGACUUUGAGCUAGUGAGCUCCGGGUUUGAUAUGAGUUUUGAGAUAUGUUUUUGGUACUUAUCUAGUGGGUUAUCAUACAGCACAUCCGCACACCACGGGUAUAGAUGUGUAUGGCCAUAGGACACAGAUGAUGAGGAGGAGUAAGAUAUGAUAUAUUAUAUACCCCCAGUUCACUAUCGAAAGCAGUGUCAGAUAACCUCACUAGCCAUGGCUAGUGUCGGUAUGGAUGUUAUGCUAUUUCAUACAGCUUCACCUUCGGGUGAUAGACAGGUUAUUUAGCUUCACCGUCGGGGUGAUGGACAUGUACUACCUUCGGCCAACUAUGAUAGCCUUAGUUGAGCACUUCACUGACAAGAUUUACAAAUUUGCCUUCGGGCAACGACAUUUUCAUUAUCAAGCACUGGAUUUUACAUAUCUACCUUCUAAAUGGAUUUUCAUGGCAUGCUAGGGUUUUUCAUAAAGCCUAUAUGUAGUAUUAUAUAUGUUUUCAAAAUAAGGGGUUAUUAUGUUCAUAAAUAAAAUGUUUUCCUAUUAUUAGUAUUAUUAAUAUAAACUUUGGUCCACUCACCUUUUCAGUUUUUGCGCCUCCUCAGGAGUUAGGAUCGAGGCACAUGAUCCCGGCAUCAUGGCAUGUUGAUAUAGGUAUCCUUGAAUCUUCUCAGUGUAGGUAUCAUUCCCUUAUUCAUAUCUUUUUAUAGUGAUUCUUCCCUAUUAUUUCUAAUUAGUUGUAUGCUCUAAACACAUUCCUGCUUUGGUAAUCGUUAUAACUACUUAUCUUGUAAUUGUUUGCAUGUUUAAAAUGGUUUUGUCACCCUUGGGCGUGGGCUAGCACGUGCCUACCCUGGUAUGUUGGGAUAUCGGGGUUGGGGCGUGUCAAAGAUAGAGAGUGAAUUUCUAGCAGAUUCAAUGGUUGUCUACAUUUUAAAAAGAGCUUGCCGAAAAGAUUGAUUCAGAUGAAAUAACAAAGGAUUUCAAUUCCAUUAAGGAUUGAAGGGCACAACUUGAAUAGGUAUUUUUCUUUUUAUUUGUUAGGUUGUUAUGACAAGAUUGACGAUGUAUGUUUCUUUAUAUUGUAAGUUGCAACUUUAAAGGUUUUCUUUGUUAAAUCUAGUUGAAACUUGAUUCAUUUAGAGUUAAAUUUCUUACUUCAAAUUGUUGCUUUUAGGCUUAUUAUUGUGUAACUUUAUGCAAGCAACAAAAAAUUUUAACCAUUUGAUUUUGUACUAAUAAUUUUAGCUUAGCAUGCCACCAAAUAAUUCAUGGCUCCGCUAUUGAAAUCUUAGCAUGUGCAAUUUCAAAGUCUCGGUUGCCAAGUCUCCCCAGGCUGUUCAGCACCCAUUCUGAAUCUUGAUCGAGAUCUAGAGCAGUGCAAGUCAAGGAGUCUUCAUUCUCAUUUGAAACAAUGCUAAAAUUAUACCUCAGCUUGGACUCCUUGGGCAAAAUAUACCCAAAUGUAUUAGUACUACUUGUGGAUACACCACUAGUCCAAAAAAAUCACCUCUCCUUUCUUAAUCUUCAAUUGGUGAGGGUCCCAAUCAAGCGUGAAAGGCCCCGGCGCACGGUUGGCUUUAGUUUCCCAUGAUGAAAUCCACGAAACAUGGCCGUUUGUACGGUUGACACCCAAUUUCAUGCCCGGUAAAAAGGUGUCAACUGGUAAUCAAAGCUUUACGUUCACUUCUUCUUGUACAAAAUUUCCCGAAUCCAAAAGGAUAGCCACAACAGUAGCAAUACUGUUACUUAUGUUGGUAGACCUAGUAGUUUGUGGAGCUGAGAAAAACGCAAUUGGAUUAGGAUCCCCCCCGCAUAAUUUUCAAGGUUUUAUUCCUGUCCAAGGCAAGAGUGCGUACAAAAUAGGGGCUUUACGGUUGCAAAUCCAAGCAAUGUUGCCAUCGGCCUUGUUGCUCUGGAUAGAUACGUAGCUGGUGCUUUUGGAACUGUCGUCGUGUACACAGGAACUGAAACUGAACUUCUCCGAUGCAGAGACCAAAGAAUUUGAGGAGUUGAGAGUGUCUCCUGCUGGUUUCAGUGUGUCCCUUGCAGGUCCACAGUCAGCAUGCAAAAAUGAUUAAGUUGAUUAUUGCCAUGAUUAAUUAAUGACCAUAACAUGAAGUUUAAUUUCUCCAUAUGAUGAGGAAGAAAGACAUGAAAUCCAUCACCAGAACAUGAUUAAGAAUUUAAUCAAGCAACGCGUCUCAGUUAAACCAUUACAAUCUUUGUACAAGGCAUUUAUAAAUUAAAAAAAAAGGGAAUAAAGUAAUAAUUACAAGUUUUACACAAGUGACCAUUUAUUACAAUGGUGGAAAGGUGUUAAGCUUUUGCAUGACGGUGUGAGUUCGAACCUCGUCGGUAGUUAAUCUACGAACCCCGUCGGUAGUUAAUUUAACUUCUAAUCUAAUAAAAUCUAUUUUUUGACCAAAAAAAAAAUAAUUACAAGUUUUACUAAAAAUUUAGGGGUGUGAUAUCCACACACCCCUUUUUACUUCUCUUACACCUUUUUUAUUUUCGACCGUCGGAUAUGAUGAAUUGAAGAAAAUCAACGGACAAAAAUUAACAAGGAAUGUGUGAGAAGUAAAAAGGGGUGUGUGGAUAGCACACCCCAAAAUUUAUCGGAAGACUUGAUCACCCAUUUGUAUGCUGACAACGGUGACUAGAUUCACAACCUCUUUCCCACGUAAAUCACAUCAUCCAAUUUUAUUUUUCUUACAACAUAUCACGUAUCUGUCAUAUGCAAGACUUUUUUUUUUUGUUUAACAUGAAAACGAAGACUUUUUUGGAAUAUGGAGAGUGAAAUUGCAGCGGAAGCAUCCUAGAUUUUUGAUCGAAUAUUGAGUUUGGUUUCAUGCCAGACUUCCUGGAUCAAACACACCCUAAAAAAAUAUAUAAAAAACCAAUAAGGUCAUGUGAUACGACAUCAUUUCAAGAGGAAAGGUACAAACAAUCUAGUUUCUAUACUAGGAAGAUUCACUCGAACAAAUUCUUGGAAACUAUGACUCAAACAAAAUUCUAGGAAUUCAGUAUUUUUAACAAAUGAUAAGCGUUUAAGAUAUAUUCUUUAUAAUAUUAGAGAAAUCGAACGGUUGAUCUAUAACUCGCAAAGUGGUUGUAGCUCAAGUAAUUUUACUCCCCAAUUUUACAUAAAACAUAAAAUAAAAACAAAUCCUAAUUUACAUGGUAAUUUUUUUUCAUAGCUAGGGACAACUUCGACUAUGGUAAUGCAAUUAAUAUACACUAGUUUUGGAUGGAGAAGUUUCAAGAUUGAGUAUGGGAUGGGGAGGGGCGAGAGACUUGGAUGGAGAGGUGAGGUUUUAUGAGUUAAACAGUGAUGCAAGGAUGUAUUACUUAAAACUUUAGAGACCGUAUGUUGGGCUAUAUAUAAUAUACGUUACAUGGAUAAUUGUUUAACUCAUAAACGUUUUGAGUGUUUCUAACAUAUGCUUAUCAAAAGCCUUCUCGUUCCAUCAAACAAUACGAAAAUUUUCAAUUGAAUGAAAGACAUACUAUUUUAUAUAUCACAGUACUUCAUGGAUCAUCAUCAUCACAUAUCCUUAAUUCAAAGGUAAUAAAUGAGCAUCUAGUUUUAUUUUAAUUUUAUUUUAUAUAGGGACUACAGAAGCAAGCACCCUCUGUAAAUUAAACUCUAAAACUUCUCAAGUAUCUUGAAAGGUGCCAAAAGCCAUCAGCCAACUCCAGUUGAUGCAUAACCUCCUACAUUUACAAAAACAGCGUCGCCGUUAAUUUAUUGACUUCUUCCCAGGACACAUACCAAUUUGCGAAAGUGGUUUGACUGAUGCUAUAAUUAGUCGAGUAAAGUACAGUCUUUUCAAUUAAGCAGAUGCAAAACACUUAGUUGAUGCACUACAAAUAUGAUUUUUACCUUUAAUUAACGCGCUUCAAAAUCAGAACUGGACUUGUAGUUUGCUGAAGCAACAGUUUCAAGUUGCUGAUUCCCACUUAUACCAGCCUCCACCGUCCUCCUUCCAACAAAAAAUGCUGGCUUUGUUGGUGAUGCUAAUGGAAAGCUUUCAUUUGUCAACAUAGAUAUGACAUCUGACAUGGUAGGGCGAUCUGCUGCAUUUUCUUCUACGCAAAGCAGACCGACAUGGAUGCAUCUUAACAGUUGCUCUUUAAUAAACGAAUUUCCUAAUGUUGGAUCCGUUAAUUCUAGCCCUGCACCUUUUUUCCAUAACUCCCAUGCCUGAAGAACAAGGAUUGCAUUUCAUUCUAAAGAAGAAAAAUAUGAUUAUAAAUUUUAAGAGAGAGAUUUGUUUGUCAUACAUAUCCUACUAAAUUGAGUGCGCGAUCGUCAUUGUAAAAGCUGUUGUUUUUCCUUCCACUUAUGAUUUCAAGCAUCAAUACCCCGAAACUGUAGACAUCAGACUUUACAGAAAUAAUUCCCCCCACGGACUCUGGAGGCAUGUAACCACUACACCAAAUGAAAAAGAAAAAUAGUCAGUAUACUUAUCUGGAAAAAUGCGUGUUUAGCAGUCAAAAGGGGAGGACCACGUCAAUAUGAUGCAGAAAUACUUACAGUGUCCCCGCAACCUUUCUAGUGUUUGCUUCCAAUUCAUUUUGGGUGAAAAUCCUUGCCAUACCAAAAUCUGAAAUUUUUGGGUUCAUGUUUUCAUCAAGUAGUAUGUUACUAGCUUUUACAUCUCUAUGAAUUACUUUCUUUCUUGAGUAUUUGUGCAGAUAAAGCAACCCUUGAGCAAUUCCUUCGAGAAUGCUAAAACGCUUCUUCCAAUCUAGUAGUAGACCUCUGAUUGGAUCUGUCCAAUAUGUUGAGUUAAGUAGGACUAAUAUUAAUUAAUAGUAGUACUCUAUGAACUUUGACAGUAAAAUAAAAAUCAGAUAGUAAAUUUAACAAAUGAAAUCAAGUAUCUUGGUUCCUCACCAAAUAAAAAGUGGUCCAAACUUUUGUUCUGCAGAUACUCAUAUAUCAACAUCAUUUCUUCACCAUGAAUGCAAAAUCCGAAAAGGUGAACCAGGUUUGUAUGUUGGAGUUCAUAUAUAAGUAUCAGUUCAUUCUUGAAUUCUGAUGUUCCUUGCCCUGAACAUUUCGAAAGCCUCUUCACAGCUAUUUCUUGUCCCGUUGCCAAUUUCCCCUGAAUUGAUAAUCCAUAUCAUGCUUUUGCUGUCAUUUUUAGGCAAUUGAAGCUAAUUCCAUUUUUUUUUUCUUACAGCUUUUGAAUUAGAAGCAGAAAUUUUUGUUUUUUCAAAAUGUUACCUUAUAAACCGGUCCAAACCCUCCUUGUCCUAGCUUGUUUUCUUCAGCAAAGUUUCUUGUGGCAGCCACGAUGGAUGAAUAGCUAAAAACGCUAAAAUCAUGAUGUCGCUUAGAUUCAUGAAGAUAAGCAUUUCGUUCUCAAGCGUUGUCCGGUUCUCACCUAUACAGAUCAAUUAUAAGAAAUUAAAGUUUCAAUGGAGACAACAAUUGUCAAAGAUGUGAUUAAUAAUCCUGUAUUACUGGUGCACAUGAUUUAAAGAAAUAUACCAGCUGAUGCAAGGGCUGAUCUUCUUCGUCGGAGUAGAUAGUACGCGGUGCAAAGCACUAGAGCAGCAGCUAUAGAAAUGCCAAUCCAAACCCAUUUAUCUGCUGCAUCAUAAACAAUUAGCUAGCAACAUAUGCAAUCAGUGUAACACACACGGACAUGUACGCAUUAAUUGUCUUCAAUUUUUGGAUGAACUAGGUCUUGCAGGUUUCUUCCGGAAAACGGAAAAAUUCGAGACAGAGAGCAGAACUUAAGACAACAAUAACAAAGAUAGAGGUACCUAAUAAUACUGAUUCCACGCGUGUCACAGAUUUCCGGCUCAAAUCGGGUUUGCAGCCUCGGUAUAUAUCCUUCGGAUCAAGAAAAGAAAACCCUUUUGGGCAUUCGCAGGUUGGCCUUUUAUCUGGUUUGAGCAUACAGGUACUGUUGUAACCGCAAACACCAACGCCCAGUCGUAGGCAAAUAUCAUCCGGCAUAUACACCAGAGGACUAAUCCAACUUGCAUUUCCCGUGAAGUUUUUCUGGUGAGAAUAUAAAGCGAAAAUCCCAUCAAAAUCAAGAGUUGCCCUUAUGUAGUUGUCCCUCACCGACACUCCCUCUGUCCCCUUAAGAGGGACUCUUCCAUCAUUUUCUCUUAGAACAAACAUGUCCCCUGAGCUGCUGAACACCAAUCGUUUGCCUUGACUACCUGGCACGUUCCCUGACGUGGUCUUCGUGGAGAAGUAAGGGAUGUUGGCAUUAUCUGUUGUGACGGAAAUGAGCACGAGGUUUCCAUCACCUUGCAAGCUCAGCCGGAACCGCCCUUUUGUGUAGUUAGUCUCCGAUUGUCUACACGAAAGCGUCCCGUUUCUCUCAAUUGUCUGUCCAGGCAAAACGGUGUCUGUAGGAUUGCUGAAGGUCUCCCACAAGCUCCCCGAGUUUUGGUGUUGAAGGACGAAGUUUCCGGUGUCAUUCAUGACCCCGUUCGCAACAGUCCCCAAGGUUAUUUCGGAUUUCCAUAUCUCUCCACCCUGAGGAUUGUUAAGAACUAGUCCACUGUUGGCAGUCAAGUUCAGAACUGAUCCCCUAGGUGCAACCAUGGGGUUGUUACCGUCAUAUGCAUACCAAAACUACGGUUUUGUCUGGGAUUUUCGCAUACCAUAUCGAAAGCAAGAAACGAUCAUUGUUUCCGAGGGGCGAAAAUCCAAACGCGAAAUCACCGGAAGGAGAAAGCCAUGAUGAGGAGUCGCCUGUAGUUGCAGUUAGAGAACUCCCAACUGCUACUCUUCCAUUAUUUUGGGAAAUCACAGAAAUUGGUAGCAAAAACAAAGAGGAGAACAAAAGCAUCUCUACAGAAAGAGCCACUGCCAUUGCAAAAGCACCAAUUUUUCAACUUGGCUUGAUUGAUUAGCUAUAUUUCUUAGUAAAGCAUUGGUCCUUGUUAUAUCUUUAAGUAAAUGCGUGUGCACCAUGUGCCUGUCAUUUUCUAAGUUUUUGCCUGGAAUUAAAGGCGUCUACACCAUUUUUUGAAGUCACACACAACAAUAUCUCCGGGCCUACAGAAUAAAUUCUCCGAACCUACACAUAUCACAAGAAUUUCACUUUGAAAAAAAAAAUAUAAUGAAUAGUUCUAUAUAUAAUGACACCGAGACUUUUUGUGAUUGAAUUUAUUCUCUCUCAACUCCUUUGUAAUGUUGCAAGUUGGAGCAAUAUUGACGUAAUUAGCAAUGGUCCGCUGACUUGUCUCUCUCAAAUCUCUUAUCAUCCUACUCUCAUCCCUCGUCUGUUUUAUGAUUCUACUUACUUAAGCACUUAUAAAUGUUCCAAAUCAGCAAAGGACUUGUAACUUAAAUAAUUAAUAAUAUUUAUCACUACACUCGAGAUUCUAGGUUCCAAAAUAUAAUAUAUAAUAUAUAUGAAUGUUUCCGAACCAAAAGGACAAGUAAAUACGAGCAUGACUCACGCUGCAUGGGUCGGCCAUUCAAGUCCACCAGUCAAAAUUCAACAAUGGGGCCCACAAAGAAAAUUUGAAAAAGUACAUGCAGAUUGGGGACGGAUACAAAGAAAAUCUGAAAACAGACCUCCAGAACCAAACAAAGACGACUAAGCCUUUAAGUCAAGUGACAAGAGACUUAUAUCUUCACAAAAACAAAGACGACUAAGUCUCAAUUUCUGUAUUCACAAAAAAAAAAGUACUAACUGAAGUUUUUAAUGUAUGAUUACGUCGUUGGGGUAAAACACCCGAUGCCGAGUUGAGAUAAUCACAGGGUUGGGGAAUCAAGAACCUCUUCGAAUGUCACAAUCUAGCGCAAACGGAUGUAGAGACUCAAACCACUUAUUUUAAAUCAUACGGCCUUCAUUAGCCUAUCCUAUUGACCCACAUGGUCCAAAUCUGUCUCUCCCCUCUCUUGAACGGUUUGGAUAUCUCGAUUUGUCGAUUUUGGAUUGCGAGAUUCAAAGAGAAUCUGAUUUCAUGUUUGAGGUGAGGUUUGACGACCAUUUGAAGCCCGUUGAGGCGUGGCCCAUCUCAUCAGGUCGGGUCAGCCAUUUCGUACCAGGUUGGAUCCCAGGUCAGGCCAACCAUUUCAUUAGCCUAAGAUGGACCUGACAGACGAGGCGCUUGGAUAUUGCCUACCGCGACCAAAUGGACCCAUGGACUCAUUAGAUGAUGAGUCUGGACCCUGGUGUGUGUAAAGCCCACCUCAGCUCGAUCCAUAUUCGAUCGAUACUACAAAGAAGGUGGAUAUGAGGUAAAGGUAGAGUAAGCUCCAAGUCAUGUGGAGGUCAGUCGAGAUUGAACACACGUUCAUAGAAUCAUAGUAUCAAAUUCAAGUCCAAAUUUUAACACUACGAAACCGAAAAGCAUUGUUUCAGUCCAACAACCCAAACUUCCUUAAAAAAACUAAGACAAAAACGACGACACUAGGAAACGGAAAAACAUGCAACUCAGAAAACCAUUACUCUAGUCCAAAUGAGGUUCCUCAAUGCCUCAAGCUUUUAUAAAACACCAUAGCCUGAACCUUUUCCUUUGCGCCUUCUUUGCUUCACCAGAAACGUUCUUAAUGAGCUCCUCUUCAAAUUUGGGACGAGCAGGCAUUAGGCUGUGCACAAUGCUGUAAACGCCCCUAGCCCUUGCCACACCCUAGGUGCGUACGCGUGCAUGUCCGACCUGAGUUAUCUUAUUACGCGCGCAGUUUGAUCUUCCCGUAUUGACAUCCCUGCUGUCUAUUCUCCUGCGAAUCCUUCUGCUGGUGACUUCAUCCGAGUCCAUUUUCUUGCUCCUCAGUGCAUGUUCAUCUGCUUUUCCCUGUUAAUAAAUAUAGGAAUCCCAUAACAAACAGCAUUUGACAAAACAGAACGUAAUAAUAACAACAAAACUUGACUCCAUCCUCAGUGCAUGUUCAUCUGCUUUUCCACUUCAAAGCAGCUGACGGCACGAUUCGUACUUGGACUCCAAAAUGUCUAGAUUAUGGAGAAACCAGCCUUCUAUCCAAAACACACAAAGAAGUGUAUUUUCCGUUUAUACCAAUUAAGUGUGUUGAAGCAUGUCCCACAUGGCCACAUAGGAAACUUGUUGAGGUUUAAAUCCUCUUAUAUAGAAAGUUCGACUACUAAUUGCCUUGAGGCCUUAAUUCUGUAUAAAACCAUACCUAUUGAAUUGCACACGUGCUUAAGUUAAGGUCAGUAUUGAUGGUAAUUAGUAGUGGGCUGCUGGGCCGUCUUAAAAAAACUGGUACAAAGGGCAAUUUAUAGAAGCAGUGUUGAGAUAAGGGCAAUUCAUCUGUUCUUUUUAGAAGGAUAUAUAUGAAUGAAGCAAGGUUUAUCUGCUAAUGCGGCUCAGCCCUUUAUCAAAAAGUGAAAGAUCAAAAUUACUUUUACAGCAAGAGCAAUACCAGAAGAUGUAAUCUAAAUUAUUUAUAUUUGGUUCCCUUGAAAUCCUUUUGACUGCUUCAACAUACUAUAUGCAGACAGAACCAGAACCAAGUCCAGACUCACUCGUAAUAGGUCUCCUCAUCCACAACAAUAUCCCAGCUUUCCCUUGUCGUGGUUUUCCCAUAUUUGUGCACCUUACUGCAAAGAGAGAGCAAGUUAACUUGUCAAAGAAAAACCAGAACAAUAGAUGCCAAUGCAGUUCAAAAAGUUUAUUUCCCUUCAUACCCAUUUCCGAAGUGCUCUUCUCCCCAUGUCCUUGACCAACCUAGACAUGAGAGAACAAAAACAGAGUUACAUCAGAUUAAAUUAUUGAAAGAAAAAGGUUCACUUCUGUUGUAACAAAUCGACAUUAGAAUCAAGCAACCACGCUAUGAAAUACAAAUUUAAAAUGUAACAAUUUACUGUGUCUAAAAGGAAUCUUGAAAUAAAAUAGUUAAACCCUAAACAGCACCACUGCAAAUAGCAUAAGAAAAUUAAAAUUAACCCUAAAGAAAUUGGGAGAGAAGAAUAUGAAAAGGGAAUACCUUUCGGCCCCUUUGAGUUAUUGGAAAAAACCCAACAGAGCAAAAGAUAAACAAAAAUACAGGCGGAAAGAAAAUAAAUUUUCAACUUGUAAGAUUCAUACGCGAACAGAUUGGUGGUCAAAAGCAUUUCGGAAUUCAGAGCCAUCAAGCUUUUUGAUCUGCAUGGAAAUUAUUUAUGAAGUUUGAGAUUCUUAUAGACGCUUUAGACACAUCGACAUAUUGAGAAAGCAAUAUUCAACAACCUAGUACCCAUGCUCCAUAGAAGGUUGAGAAAAUAUGAAUGUCUGGACUCUGGAGUGAGAAAGUAAAAGGACUUACCGCAUACUUCAUAUCUUCUAACUUUGUGUAGUCUACAAUCCCUGUUGUGCCUACAAAAAAGGCAUAGGACAAAAGCUAAAUCAAUCGAAAUUCUGAUGUCAUGAUCUAGGUCUUAGGAUUAAACUAUUGAAAUAACACUAUAUGAAAUAGCAGUGUAUAUCCCAAAAAAAGUAUGAAAUCUGGUUGAUAAUUGCAGAGUUCGAAGGGAUUUACCUUUGGAUUCUUCGGCUUUCAGAUGGAGUUUGCUUAUGUAUGGGAGAGAGAGGUGGAGCGGCUAGGGUUUGAGUAUGGAAGAGAUGAAAAAUGGAGAGAACACCUGUUUUGGCUGCAGCAACUCACACACUCCGGACAAAUCUGCAAAUGUCUAAAGGGGGGAAAAUAUAAAAAGAAACCUUAACAACUGAAUUCAAAGAAACAUUAUUACAUUGUAAAUAGCAUUUCACAAAAAAAAUAAAAUAAAAUAAAAUAUACUAAACUAAACUAAUUACACUCGGAUUGCAAUGCUAUCAUUUAAUAAUAGGAAUUCCCAUAACUUAGCAGAAGAUCCUGCAUCUGCAAAGGAUCCUUUAAAACCUAUUUUUUUUAACAACCCCACACCUGCAACACAUCCAGUCAAGGUAAACCAAUAGCACCCUCAUGCAGAGCUCUUCUGUGCAUAUAUACCCCUUAUAAGUAAUCUUAAUCAAUCAGUUAUCAUGAAUAUACAACUUAUAUUAAUUUUCUACAAUAUCCAACACACAAAUAUAACAGAAGAGGAAACUUUUACUUAAGCAGCACAAAAUGAUAUCCUCUGCAUUUCAUUCCAAAAUCCAUCACUCUUAUGUCUUUGCCUGCACAGUUUUUGCUCCAACAUAGCCUGCAAUGAUGAUAUAGCACUAUCAAUAAUUAAGACAUAAAGAAAGGCUAUCCUAGCUAGGUAUUAUGAUUGGAGUAAACCAACAACACCAUAAGUAAAGUAGCAGACCAAAUUUUUUUUAGAAUUGAUGUCUUAACAUGUUUAAGUAGCAAAAAGAUUACAACACAUUGGAUGUGUUAACACGUCCAUAAGCUGAUGACUCCCUCUCCGGUUUACCACAUCAUUCUUAAUGUACUCAACAAUGCAGCAGCAAUUAAAAGUCCUUGGAAAAUGCCAAGCUACUACAAUGACAUAACGAAAACUAUAUCUCACCUUACACCCUUGUUGGCAUAGACAACAUAUCCGUCCUUGUUCGGGGUGAAUCAUAAUCCUGAAUUCAAUUAUCAUCAUCGUCGAGAAUGUCAAACUGUAAAUCAACCAUGCAUGGAACAAAACUUAGAAAUUAAACAAUUAUCAAAGCUUAUGAAGAAUGCUAAACCCAACUAAUUCGAAACAUAAAGUAACCCGAAAGAGAGAAAACUUAUAAAUUUUACAUAAAUUAUAAUCCUUAACAGAAGGAUGGAACAAAACAGGUUCAUUCUUAAGAAUAGAUGUAACUAGUAAUAGGCCUGCGCGCUGCUGCGGGACUUGAAUGCACCAGCCUUAACAACAUGAAUAAGACACAUUUAACAUGAAAAAAAUUCAACAUAAUCAUGAACGAACAAAAAGGAUAGCUGAGUGAACAGUGUUCGUAAGUAAAACAGCUUAGUUUUUAUAUACAUUCAACCAAGCUGAUUACAAAAGAUGUGAUUGUAAAAAAUGUUCUGCUUACCUGAGAAACAAAAGCAACAUGCAUUUUACACAUACAAGACAUCUGAUAUUAAACCUAAAAUCAUGUAAUUCUGUAUGAAGUGGAGAAUAAUGCAGAAAGAUGGUUUUCUAUAGUGCUGCCAAUGACAAUUAAUUUCUCAUGAAAAAAAAGAAAAGAGAAACACAGGUAUAAAAGAAUAUUAUUUUUUAUAGUUGCAAACAUUAUGAAUUCCAAAAAGAAAAACUACAGAUAACACUUCAAUCACAGAUCUAAGCAUCUAAAACGUGGCAACCCAGAUACCAUUCAAGACAUUGCUCAGCAUCAUGGAUAAACUAACCUAUCUGUGUCCCUGUGCUCACUGCAUGUCAUAUACACCCGACCAACUGGGCAUAGGAGCAUAAUGAGGAAAACUUUCAGCACCAUUUUGUACCUGAAAAAUGAGGGAGGAACUAAUUAAAGCGUUCCUCACUUAGAAUAAAUAAUGCAUGCAUAAUAGCCAAAUGGACAUUGCGCAUAUAAAUUGUUGUGGCAAUAACUUGCAAUAGAAAACGUAGUUAAAAAUAAGAUAUACGAAAUACCAACAUUGCAAUGGUAUUUUUUUUUUCCAUUCGAUUGUACUGAAGCAUGCAUCUUAAAUUAGGUACUACGUGAGGUCUCUAUAAUGAAAUGGGAGAUUGAAUACACUUGACGAAACUGAAAAUUCAAAUAUGCACACGCUCCAUAGUGUAUCUUCACAACCAAAAGAAACGUUUAUAUAUACGACAUAUGUUUGACAUUGUUUUUCCCCACUCAAAUCGUCUUGAGAAAAUUUGACUACUAAAAACUACAAAACUUUGAUUAAAGAAUCAAAUAGAAUAGCAUGAGAAAGUUAUUAUUACACCAUACCUGACUUUUUUGCAUAUAAAAACACCUGUAUUUCACCUGAUUUUGUAAUGAAAUACAGAUGCUUGUAGUUCACCAGUACAUAGCUGCCUGUCAUUUGUUGUCUUCUUCGGGUUCAAGAUCCUUAUAUUGUCUGAGACGUGAAAGAAUCAGAAAUUGUAUACAGUUUGAUAAUGAAACAUGUAAUGUGAUUAUGUGACAACAAUGCACUCCUCUCUCUCAGAGAGAUAAACAAAGAUAUCAAAAACAGAGAGGCAAUGUUAAGAUAAACAGAAAGGCAAUGUCACAUUGUUUUGCAUGAUCUUGAAAAUUGGGGAUAAGGUAUUCAAAGUGCUAACAAACACGUGCAAAUGGGGAUAAAAAAGGGGAUAAAUUGAAAAAUAUAUAUGCUCUUAAUCGAGAACUUCAUCAAAUAAACAAUAAAAUCUAAUGUAAUCUGUCCAAAACCAAAGAGAGUGAUAAUUUGGAGGCACUAUAAUGUCUUGGGCAUCGCAUACUUGCGGUAUAUGAUUGAUGCAUCUGUUGCUCAAUCAAAUCAUUUGCUUGGCUAAAAAAGUUAUUUUUACAAUAAAUAGAUUCGCAUCCAAUUUAUGAGAAAUCAUGCAAAAGUAAAUGUAAAUGAUAACGGAAUCAUGAAUGCGAAUAAGAAACACAUACAUGCCAAAAAGAAAACCUACUAUAGUGUGUCAAGUUACUUGCAACAUAAUUUUUUAUGCCAUUAUCCAUUUCGCAAUACUUUAAAAAAAUUUCGUUUGAAAAAGCUUUGCUAUGAUUUUUAGGUUUGGGAAAAAUAAUACCAUAAAAAUUAAAAAACAAUUACUAAAAAUCAUGGCCUGUUAAUAGCAAAAUACACUCCUCAACAAUGUAUAUGAACAUGUGAGUUGAAAAUUUGAAAUAUUCAACAACUAAAAGAAAGAAGCAAAAUCAGAAGAAAAGAAAGAGAUACUCACUCAAAAAUAAAGAUGUAAUAAUGCCAGGCUUCUUCUCCUCGGCAUCCAGAAUUCCAUUGUUGUCUCCAUCUUCAACCUUCAAUGUAUUUAAAAUAUGAAAUGGAAAAAACCCAGAAGAAAUCAUUACAUAAAAUAAAAUUAUCCAAGUAAAAUUAAAGGAUGGAUAGAAAAGAAAUGAAGGCAGUUUAUUCGGACUUAAUUAGAGACUUACUGAAUAAGCUUGAAAUCUAUCUCACACAUCUCUUAAACUUCAACCCCUAUCCUCCUUGCCUCUGUAAUAUGCACACAUAUAGAAAAAGAAAUCGACUUUAGAACCUACAUUGAUACAUAUCUUGUGUGAGUAGGUCUUUCCUGCUUUUCCCCAAUCAUGCAUAUCAAAGAAACGAAAAAGAAGGAAAUCACCCAUAUAUAUAAUACCUUAAGUUUAAAUGCAUCCCAAUUUUGGGUUCCAACGUCACAGAAAGAAUGUCUUAUACAUAAUUUAACAGUACCCCCGACAUCGGUCCAUCCAUUCGUAUUAAUAGUUAUUGUCUGCACAAACCUCAAUUACCUUACAAUCUAUCAUUAUUGACAUAAAGUUCAUACAAUAUGGGACAUCAUGACCUCUCUUUGGCCAGCACCAGUUUUUCCAAAAUGAAAUCAACUAUUACUGCAUUAAUUAUGGGUCCAUCUGGCCAAUUCAUUGAAUUCGCAGACCCAAAAAUUUCACCAAUUAACUGAAUUUACAUACAAAUGGGAGAAGUACAAAAACAAAGACAAUGGCAUAAAUUAUACCAUAAAAAUUACACUACGAAAAAUUUAGAGACCAAAAUCCUUGUUAACAGAAUUUAUUCACAUUAAAAGACACAAUUUCGGUUCAAAAAACUAUCAAAUUUAAACUUUGAUAUCAUAUGAUAAAAUCUUAAUUAAACUCACAAUCUCAAGAAGUUGAAACCAUGUUAAGUAAAAGAAACAAAUUGAAAAAAAUUAAGAUGUAAAUAUUGAUAAGAACAACAAAAGUGGCAAAUACAUUAUACACAGAUAGGACCCUGAAAUAUCGGAACCAGCAGCAACAAAUAGAAUUAAGAAGAAAAAGGAUUAGCAGACUUAAUAAAUGAGAAAUAGGAUAACAGGUACGAACUCAGUUUUUCCACUAUGAAUAAGAGAUCCAGUGGCAUAACCUAACAUUAGGUAGAAUCAAUGCUGGUUGAUUGAAUUUUCAUUCCCUGAAAAUUCAGAAAAUGAUGUGUUUUGAUCUGCAGAUAGAAGCAUUCUAUAUAUAUAAAAAAAAAAUAUAUGGAGACAUGAUGAGGUUCAGAAACCAAACCAUGUCGGUAAAAUCCUCUUGGCAGGUUGCUCAAGGUUGACCUCCUAGCCCUUGGACCAGUCAGGAGACUUGGCCUCCUGCUUUCAAGUUUGGAAGGGAAGUAAAAGGUUCAGCCAAUAAGUAAAAGAAUUGAUUCAGAGGAUAGAAUCAAAAUUUCAAAAAUAUUAUUUGAUGCGAUUAAAACUGUUCCCAAUGAUAAAAUGAAUAAAAAAAUCCAUUGGAAUAAAAGAAAAAGAAUGAUUAAAAUUAUUCACAACCCUUGCUGUUUUUACCUAACCAUUUGUAGGAUCCAUAAAGGGCCAAAAAAAGUUUUUUACUUCUCCUCUAGUCCCAUAAAUUUGGAUUCCAUCUCGUCCAAGCAAACUAACAAUCAUUACUAUACUUUGUUUUAGCAUGCGAACACAAAUCUCAAAAAAAAUAGAUAAUUCAUUUACAAAUUUAAAUUCAAUUUUUAUAUCUCGAUAUUUGUUUGUUAAACUCAAUGAUCAAACUUCAGACUCAUGCCUUCCAAAAAGAAAAGAAAACGAAGAAGAAUUGAAAGCACUUCCCAUUCCAAGGAAAGAGCAGCCAUAAUUAGGAUCCAAAACUCAUUCUUUAGUCUCCUCAUCUGAAGCUAUAUAUAAUCAUUGAACAAAAACGUUUAACGUCCAGCAGAAAGCAAACUGCAAUCAAAAUUUCAAAAAAGCAAAAUAAUGCGCAGAUAAUCGACAGCUGCAACAAACAAAAAAUAGAAAAAUCAAAUGCAGAUUGAAGGAAAAAUCGAGACCGCAAUCGAAACUCAUGCUUGUAUGGGUAAUUAAUUGUAGAUACCAAAUCAUCAAAAACCACUUGUCUACACCAAAUUGCAUACAAAAGAUAUUGGGGCAACUCAGAUUGUGCAAUGAAAAACAAAGUCAAACUACGACGUAGAUGUCUAUCGGAAUUUCAUUCAAAGAAUGAUUAAAUAAAGACAAUGGCAUGCCAAAGAUUAAAUACCCUAAGCGACAGUGUCAGCCAUGAGCUUCCCUCUGUGAGAGCACAGGGGUGUAACUGCAAAAGAAAGCCGGAGACUGAGGGCAAACUGUAAUUUCGUCAAAAAGGAGGAAGUGUACAAAAGAGAAGUGACAGCAAUAAGCGUAGACGCCAAGGACAAAGUAAAUAUGUAUUUGUGAAUGGGGUUAAGCUGCUGCUAGCUUUGUAUAGUGUAAUAAUGCAAUUGCAAAUAGACCAAGUUACUGCUACUAAAAGCUUUUGCAAAAUCAUAAAACUCUUAACAGUUUGAACCCUACCGAAAAGUUUAUAUGAGUUAAAGAACAGUCGUACUUAAGUGCAGCAAGAUCAUAAGCUCUUGCAGCUUCUCCUCCAUAUCAGAACCACCUGCAGUCCAAAUUAACCAAGAUUCAAGGCCAAAGCAAGAACAAAUUAGUGAUAAUUUAAACUAAAGUCCCUAAUUAUUGUUGCAGAGAGAAUUCAUAUCAAGAUUAACGACAUUAUUUGAUUCGAAUGGAAUCCAAACGCAGCAUAAACAUGAAAGGUAAAAAAUUAAUACCAAAAGUCACAUUUAAGCAGCAAUUAAUAGCAUAAAUCAGAUUUUAGUGGCAUGGACCAAAAUAAUUCAGUAAAAAAGAAACAAUCCCAAACAAAUAGAAAGAACUGGAGAAACAAUUCGAAACAAAUCUUCGGAAAGCAACCCCAUCCCUCCCUCACCCUCUCUCUCUCCAAUUCCAACUUCUCCCUACAUCUCUCUGUCUAUAAUAGAUGUGCAGUUUUAUUAAUCUUUGUUGCCGAAGCGUGCAAGAUAGUGAAAAGAUUGUUUAUCUAAGAAAAAAAAGGGCACAUUUUAGAUGGAGACAGAUGGCAUUUAACAAAUUCUUCAUUAGUGGAGUAAAUAAUUUGCAACCACCUAUUUCCUGGUAGCAUUAAAAAAAAAAUUCAAUUUUAAAAAAGAAAUGUACUUUUUAGUUCAAUUUCCACAGCCAUAGUAAUUUAUGUGGACUAAAAUUAAGAUUAACUAAUACAUCCAAUCAACUGCAACUAAACAACUUAUAGUAAUUGAAUCUGUGUUUGUGGAUGUGAGAGAGAGAGAGAGAGAGUUAUCUAUUAUAAAGCCAACCUUCUUUGAAUUGGUCCUCUUAUGGCUUAUUACCAAAACUCUCCAUUGCAUUUGCAGUAAUGCCCUCUGCUUCUCCUCCUGCGAAUUAUCAUUCUGUAAGUAAAAGGUACAAAAACAUCAAUUACUUAAUGGUAGAUAUGUACUUUAGACUUUUGAAGAUCCAAUUCAUCCUGCAUCUUCUCACACUCAUCUUCAUGCUGAAGCUGCAAACCUGUCAGCUCAGCUUCAAGUUCGCUCCUCAUUGAAGUUAUUUUCUAUGAAAAUGAUAAACUGGUUUGUAACGUAAGCAUAUAACACUCUAGUUAAAUUAGUAGUUCCAACUUAAUUCAAAGCUAAAAACGACAUUAAUGACCACAAUUUAAGAAUCCAGAAACAGCCCAAACUAACAACACACACAGAGGACAGACACUGAAAGACAUAUUUUUUUAGAGAACCUAACUAAAAAUUAAAAACAAACCAAGUAAAAUUUUCAGAGUUUAAAAACAGGAAACCAUUACAAUCUUUACAGAAACCAACUAAAAUUGGAAUCUGAAAAAAAAUCCGCUCAAUUUUAACAGCCCUGCUGCAUAUAUUGGGUUUUUUUAGGCAUGAGACAACACAAACGAAGAAAACAUAACAUAGUUGUAAACCUUAGGCUCCAAUCAGGUCAAGUGUGAGAUUUCAAACACGGAGAUUUACUCCAUGUUUAAAAACUGCCAAAUACAUUGCCAACUGUUAAGAGUAUGAACUACAAAUCUAUAAAGUAAAAAGACUUGCAGAUAAGUUUAAACAAUCAACAUUCAACUUAUGAUUGUUACUGUUUUUUAGCUGGAUGUUCACAUUCUAAUAAGGUAUUAAAAGAGAUUAUAAGCGUGUGUGCUCUUAAACCACCCAACACCAUGUAUUAAUCAAAUAAUUAACAUCUAAAGAUGGAGACAUGAAACACGAAACCUGCAAUUAGAUCCCAAUCACAAAAUGCCAAAAAAAUCCUAAUCUAACCAUCCCUAUACUAAUAGCCCAUUCGAGCAGCUAUUAGCACCUAACCCGCUACUUUGGCAACCCACCAACCCGCCACACCGUCAUGUCCCAUCCCCUCUCCACCACUCACUAUAUCUCUCACCUUUCUUUCUUGACAUUUCGCUCGGUGCACACAAACACCAAGCCAACCAUUGCCGGCCUUUGUCUAAAAGUGGACAAAAUCCCAUAGGUCCUGGCAGAGGACCUAGCUAAAUCUCUCUCCCACUCAGUCGAAACCCGUAGCUACCAUUUCUCUCCAAUCUGUCAGUCUCUCUGUCCCCCUCUUCUCCUCCCCCCAACAACCCUCUGACCGAUGCAUCACCCACAGCCACACCCACCCGCACCCGAGUCAAAAAUCCCAACGAUCCUCUCCCUCCAACCCGUCAACAAAUUAUGGAUUCCGAGAAUGUAUCUUGAAAACUCAGAUGCACAUGAUUAAAAUUAGUAGAUAUUAAGGACGUGUACUUAACAGAACAACACGAAGAACGAAUGAGUACAUUACAAACUAAAUGACCGUGUCAGCUAGAUACUUCUUAAAGAACACCUCUAAUCUACCAGUAUGAUUACUCAGUUUUUGGUUUUUAAAUUAAUACCCUAAACCUUACAUUCAAACUCAUUUCGAAUGCAAACAAAAGUAAAUGAUAAGUCCCGAGCUUUUCUUUCUAGCCUCAACUCAACUCAAGUUCCCAACCUUCACCUUCCAAUACAAAGAAACUAACGCAUCAAUCUGCAAUUUCGCAAACAUAUAAUUCAACUAACCAAGUUCUGUGUCCACUCAAAUGCACAUAUUUGAGCUCAAUCAAACUUAAAUUUGAAACAAAUAGUGAUGAAAGAUCAAACAUUUAUACCUAGCUUAGGAUCCGAACCAAUCUCCUCUUUCGCCUCCCUCGUCGCCGUGUCCCCAUCGUCCUUGUCCCCCUCCUCUGUUUUCCCACCCGGCAAAGAAACUUCACCUGCAGAAACACAAAACCAAAAAUUAAAAAACCAAUCUUUCCCAUUUCCAUUUUUAUCAAUUUCCUCAAUUUUUCCCAUUUCCAGAAAAAUGAGCAAGAAGCUUAAGCAGGAAAAAAAUCAUAAUUUCAACAACCAAAACCCAAUACCCGUUUAAUCAUACACGAACGAAAAAUCUAAACACAGAGUCACAGAUUAACGAACUGAAAACCCAAAAAAAAUAAAGGAAACUGACCUUACUUAAGAACAAUACAUAGAACACAGAGAAACGAAACAAAUAAAGGAACCCCCAAAACCAAAUAAAGGAACCCUCAAAACCUGACCUAACAGUGCAACAAAAUCUGGAAAUAAUUCACAGCAAAAAGGCAGAAAUGAUGACAAUCUAUGCUAACAGUAAAGAAUCGAAUUAAAAAUUGAACUUAGCUUUUGAAAUCCAGCCACUCAUCCGACAUGCAAAAGGGAACGGAUGAUCGAGAGUGAAUCAUGGACUGAGGGACCUUACUCGACCCAUCAUUGGAGCUACGUUUGUAGCUUUUGGGGAGAAAAAAAUUGAAUGUGAAAGCUGCUUUUGAUGUGGCCAUUAAGGUGGUGCUUCAGCAACCGAAGCAAAAGAAGAAGAGGCAGAAAAAUGUGAGUAUUCCAUGAAGAAAAAAAAAAGGUUAAAAAAUCACUAAAAAGAAAAGGCAGAAAAAUGCAGGGUAUUCCAUGAAGAAAAAUUCAACAAUUAAAUAAUAUAGCUGUAAACCUUAGACUCCAAUCAGGUCAAGUGUGAGAUUUCAAACACAGAGAUUUACUUCAUGUUAAAAAACUGCUAAAUACAUUGCUAACUGUUAAGAGCAUGAACUAUCUGUAAAGUAAAAAGCCUUGCAGAUAAGUUUAAACGAUCAACUGUCAACUUAUUAUUGUUGCUGGUUUUGAGGUGGACGUUCGUAUUCUAACAUGGUAUUAAAAGAGAUUAUAAGUGUGUGCGCUCUUAAAUCAGCCAACACCAUGUAUUAAUCAAAUAAUUUAUAUCUAAAGAUUGAGACAUACAACAUGAAACCUGCAAUUAGAUCCCAAUCACAAAAUGCAAUAAAAAAAUUCCUAAUCUAACCAUCCAUAUACUAACAACCUAUUCGAGCAGCUAUUAGCACAAUUUACCUCCCUCUCUAUUCUUCCCCACCCCCUCUUUAACCAAAUAAAAACUCAUUUGUCUCACUAAAUAAAAACCUCAAAUUUGUUUUUUCAAAGCUGCAACAACAUCACUAAAAACACCAUGUAAUAAAAAUUUAAAAAAACCAAUCCAAUUUAAGUCGAGAAGCAAAUGACCAAACCUCCUAUUUUGAGGAAACAUUUUGCAUUCAAACCUAAAAUGCUUGCCUGCAAAGAAGGAUUAAAUAGCAAAGCAGACUUUCGGGGGAAAUAAAAAAAACAGACUAUUUAUAAUACAAUAAAAAUAAAGUAAUUCAUCAUCCCCACCAUCUCUGUGAGCUUUAACAGAACAGAGGAAUCAAAUUAAGCAAUAUAUAAAUUUAAGUUGACAUUCCAGUGUUCUACCUCUAACCUUGGUAGCAUGCAUGCACUGUAAGUUAUAAAGUGAAUUAAGCCAAGAUCUUCUAACUUCAUGAUUUUCACAUAUGCAUUAGAUGGAGAAAUACAAUAAAUAAUCAAAUAUGUAAGACUCUGAUAUUCAAAACCAAACAAACCCAAUUACACUUUUAGUUCACUAACCCCAUUGAAUAAAAUCCAAUUCAAUAAAAUAACAGAAAAUUAAACAACCCAAAAAUCAAAACAACCCCACUUGUAGUUUUAGCUCACUAAUCCGUUGGAUAAAUAGAUGCCAAAUUCAAUCAGAAAACAUACAAUUAACAACAACCCAGAAGAGCCAUCCGAAAACCCAACCAAUUAACCAAAAAAUACCACUUGUUCUUUUAGCUUAGUAACCAACCUCUACUUGUUUUCUGGCAAAUUUGGGGUCCUUUGAUUUCUAGACUUUCAGUAGAAACUGAUUAUACCAUGGGCUAAUAUUCAAGUACCACAAAAUAUAAUUUUACCGUAGUAAGCUUUUUGAUUCACUCCAAACGAAGAUAUUAUAUGUUCACAUAUAUAUAUUCACAACCAUAAAAAGAAGAACUUAUCUCUGGCAUUUUAAUAAAAAUAAAAAUAAAUUAUUCACCCACAGUAAAAACCGAAACAGCUAAAUUAAACCCAAAAAUUAAUCAUGAUCAUACAUAUGUAUUCCUGACAAAUGUUUAGCCCUUUAAUUAAAACACUAAAAUAAAAAAUUGCUCACCCACAGUAAAAAACCGAAACAUGCAAACCAAAGCCCAAAAUUUAAUCAUCACUAUUACUUUUUUUUUUUUUGGUGUUUUUAAGUUUCAGGGAAAAAUGGAAGCACAAACAAUCAAAAAACCCAAACAAAAAGAAAUUAACACCAAAGAGAUAAAUUAUAUACCUGACCCAGAAAAAGCUUGGAAGCUCACAUAAUGAAACCCUAAAACUCGAAGAAGGAUGCUUCCUGCAAACCAAAUACAAAAUCAGACUCUCUCUCUUAGAAAGAGAGAAGUUAUCAAGUCCUGUACUUGGUUAUAUUUGUUCAAGUUAGGAAAAAUCGAGUACAGGGUUGGUACCUGGAGCUUGAGAAAUCAGAGAGCUUGCCUGUUUGAGAAAAGAUGAUAACAACAGCUUCAGAUUCACACAGAAAACGUACAAAAAACGCACAACAUGCUCUCUGCCCUCUCUCUCUCUCCCUCCCUGUCCAUCCGUCCCUCAAAAAGUGGGAAAAAAAAUCUCCAAACGUCUCUCCCACUCAUGAAAUCGAGGAUCUGCAGCAAUGGCGCUGAGGUCGCCACUCCUCCCUCUCCCUUUCUCUGUCGCUCUGUCUCUGUCUCUGUCUCUGUCUCUGUCUCUCUCUAUCGAAGGCAUGGCCUUUCAUCCCCGAAACCCUCACUGAAUGACAGCAAACCCAAACCCACCCCAAUCCGUCUCAAACACACAGGACAAAAUUGCCCUUCCAACCCAGCCCCAAUACCAGCCCAAACCUUACGGUUUUGUUGUAAAUAGCGUGAAAUCGAGUGGCUCCCUGAUAAGCCAUAUGGACAAAAUUACCCUCUGAAAUUUUGAGAAUCACCCUCCCAACCCACUCCCAUUCGGCUGGUACUGUUGUAAAUAAAGCAAAAUAAAAACAAACGUGAAUAGUGCCUGCCCUCCCCCUACUUUAGUAUAGAUAAUUUUGCACAUUGCAUAUAUGUAGAUUAAGGACGGUGGUAACAUACCUUGUAAUUUGUACAAAUUAGGAUUUUCAUUCAAAGAACUAUAAUAUACACAAUUACAAAAAAAGUGAUUCAAACUUGUUCUUCUCUUAAGGAAAUUACUCACAGUUGAAAUUCUGAAUGGAUGAAGUUUUGGCUUCCCUUUCCGACUAUAUUUGAUUAACCUUUUUUUAAUCCAAUGAGUGCCUUCAUGAGAGAGAGAGAGAGAGGAAUAUUAGGUGAAAAGUAUUGCCAAAUCACACAGAGAUCAAAAUCUUGAAUAUAUAUGUUUAACCAUGUCAAAGUGAGUGUGUAAAGGGUGUAGUCUGCAGAAAGGGCAACAUUUUCACUGCUAGAAAGUUGGAAACUAAACUUUUACACAGAUAUUGGAUUUUAUUAAUUCCCUUCGCGAAUUGAAAAGCAAAUUGUUCGAGUAAUGCAGGUAAAUUCGAUAUACAUAUGCGUUGAUCUAUGUGACGGUUAUAAGUUAUAACUGUAUUGUCUUAACGCAAAAAUGAUCAUAAAUGUAAGUGUCUGUAUUAUGGAAGUAAGGGACUUACAGCAAUUGCUAUGAGCUUUAACAGCAGUCACUCCAAGUACCUUAUUACGGAAGUAAGGGACUUACAUCAAUUGCUAUGAGCUCUACCAGCAGUCUCUCAAAGUGGUGCAAGGGCUAAAAUUAUAAAUAAAAAGUAAUUUAAACAAUUUAACUUAAUAAAAUAUUGUAAUUUAAACAAUGCCUAUAUAUUCAAACAUCCCAAAACAGGAAUGAACUUCUAGAAAACAUGCGCAUGAAAAUAAACGGCAUUACUCACCCAUUGAGUUGGACCAUCAAACUGGAGCGUAAGAAGGAUCAUCAUGUACCUAUGAAACCCAAAGGAAAAUUUUAGCAACCCCAAAGCUUGUAUGCAAGCGUGAAUAAGUAUGCGUGUAUGAAUCUAUUCAUAGUGAAGAAGGCUACCUUAAGAAAUAUUUGCAUCUGCAGCUUCAUAUGGCCAUACAACAAAAAGCAUCGCAUAUGAUAACAAACCCCAGCUGCACCACAAAAGGAAUAUGAUCUUCCUCUCGACUUGUAUUUGCAGUUGUUACUGUAACAUCUGCAGACAGCAUACAUAAGCACUGAUUCGAUAAUUCUAAAGGAAAAAAAGUUCUUAUUCGAUAAUGCACCAAAUCCUAUCCAAAAACCAAGGGGGUGCCAUAUCCCUAGAUUAACAGAGCAUCUUUCUUUGUUCCAAAACAAAUUGCAAUUGGCUUUGGUAAAGUAGAAAGAUUACCAGAUACCGACUCUGUUCCAUUAUUCGACUGUCCUUUUAGUUCUAUCUCUCAACAUGGGAAAUACAAUAAGACAGUAAAGACAAAAGUUAGUGAUGCUAUUACAUAGUGAAAGAAAAUAAGACAUUCACAUAUUGAUAGCUAUUUACUGUCCUUUCUCAUCAUAAUCUUGGCCCCAAUAUAUAUACUGAAUUUUGAAUGCAAUGAGAGAAAUAUACCUUUGGGGCGUCAAUGCCAGAAGAGUGAGUGAGGGAUCUAAGAUGUUUGAGAGCAGGAAUUUUUAAGUAAUUUGUGUGAAAAAGUUGAAGAGCUUCGAACAGAGUGGAGUGGGUUGGCCUGGGCUAAAAUAAAGAGGAUGAACUCUAGAAAGUAGAAAAUGUUGUUAUUCAACCAAACUCAAAAGUAAAGAAACCAUACAAUUAACAUAUAAAUAAGUUUUAUAUACCAAUGUUUACAUGUACGUUGUUUGAGAAGGUAAAUUAGCAACAUAUACAGUGAUCAAAAGAUUAACAGCAAUAAACUGCUCAUUAUUCGAAAUAUACAUGAAAGUUGUCAUUCACAUGAUCCAAAUGGUAGAGGACAAAACAGAAGGAAGCAAAUAUUAUAGCAGCAUAAGUUGAAUAAUUGCAGCAAGUAAACAAAUAGAAAGGCUAGCUAGAUUACACAAUCCAGUUCUAGGUCGGACUAACCAUGUUAGCCAUCCGCCCACCACCAGCACCGUCGGCUUCUUAUUAAAAAUGUAGAAUAGAAGACUCAAAAACUGGAAAUGAAAGCAGGUAACAUUGAGUUUUAAUAACCAAAAAGGGACAUUGUUUAAGCAGCUCCAUAGCAGCAAUUAUACUUGGACGAUGAGCUGCAAAAACAGAAAAGAAAACACAAAUUAAACUAAAAAAAAUAUAAAAUUUAGCACUAAUCCAGGAUUAAAUAUAAAAUAUAAAGUCAUUAGGAUUGGGACCUUUGCAUUGAGGAAUAUCUACUACAUUAUGAGUUCCCUCCUGACAGUGGCGGAUCCAGGAUUUUAAACUCGGGGGGUCUCAAUAAUAAAGGUCAAAAAAUUUAUACACAAAAACAACAUUGAAAAUUUAAAUAUAAUACAUUUCAUUCAAAAAUCAUAUGCAAAACAAUAUUACAAAUUAUAAAAUCAUAAUUCAAGCGUCCAUUACAAGGUUUCAUAAGUUACUACCUAAGUUAUUGAUUAUCUAAUAUGGACCACUAAAUUUAAAACACCAGUCAAAUAAAACUCUUCCCAAACUCCCACUAUCUUUCUAACCAAACACACCAUUUUUCUCUUUUACUAGUUUCCAAACAUCCACUUUCUCUCUCACUAAGAACACAGCUGCCAUACCUCCACCAACCACCUCCCUCCCCAUUCUCCCGAAGCCAUGGCAGCUCCACCCCCAAAUUUCACCAACCCAUGACAGAUCAUAUCCAUCUUACUAACCUUAUGCAGGAAAUUUCACCCAUAACAAAAAUUACUAAGGUGGUUGAAAUAAUUUGGGGAAAUUUGGGCUUAUGUACUGCCCCGCCAGACGACAGAUGGAGGAGAAGUGGGUGGCACCGAUGGAUGAGACCAUGGCAGAAGCAAGGAGAGAGGCUGGAAGGGUCCCUAUUUUCUUUCUUCUCCGUGCGCGGUCAUCUUCUCCGAGAAGAAGACAGCCACUGCAACCUACAACCUGCACAGACCUCAUGCUCGAGUACGAGGGGUCCCCGGAAAAUUUCUAGCAGCGAUUUAGGAUCGCCGACGGGUCCUGGGACCUCCCAGGUCCCUAUGUAUGCAGGAAAACCUAAGGUUCCUCCUUAGGUUUUUCGAUGUACCAAACCCGAAUCCGCCGUCCUUUUUCCAAAAUUCUAACGUUUUCAUAGAGUUUUAUUAAACGACCUUUAAUUGUGUUUAGGUGCAUCGGUGGAAGUGACCUCAUUCUUGAUGGUUCGAGCGGCUUUCGGGCAAUGGAAAACUUGUGAGUGGACCCCUUCUAAACUUAUAUAUUGUUAUAAAAUAUUAGCCUAGCAUGCAUUCCAUAUUUCAUGAUUUGAAUAUGAUUUAUAAUAUGCUUUAUGGACUUUUAUAAUUAUGGUUUACGAAAUAGUUUGAUUUAUCGAAAUUACGUUUUAUUAGGUAUUGAAUUAUUGGAUUUACAUAUAUGGAUUUCUAUGGUUUUCAAAUACGAUUUAUAUUACGGUUUUACGAACAUGAAUUGUUUUAUGGAUUUCAUGAAUACAAUUUAUCUUGGAUUUAUGAGAUGAGACUUUGAGCUAGUGAGCUCCGGGUUUGAUAUGAGUUUUGAGAUAUGUUUUUGGUACUUAAUCUAGUGGGUUAUCAUACGGCACAUCCGCACACCACGGGUAUAGAUGUGUAUGGCCAUAGGACACAGAUGAUGAGGAGGAGUAAGAUAUGAUAUAUUGUAUACCCCCAGUUCACUGUCGAAAGCAGUGUCAGAUAACUUCACUAGCCAUGGCUAGUGUCGGUAUGGAUGUUAUGCUAUUUCAUACAGCUUCACCUUCGGGUGAUAGACAGUUAUUUAGCUUCACCUUCGGGGUGAUGGACAUGUACUACCUUCGGCCAACUAUAAUAGCCUUAGUUGAGUACUUCACUGACAAGAUUUACAAAUUUGCCUUUGGGCGACGACAUUUUCAUUAUCAAGCACUGGAUUUUACAUAUCUACCUUCUAAAUGGAUUUUCAUGGCAUGCUAGGGUUUUUCAUAAAGCCUAUAUGUAGUAUUAUAUAUGUUUUCAAAAUAAGGGGUUAUUAUGUUCAUAAAUAAAAUGUUUUCCUAUUAUUAGUAUUAUUAAUAUAAACUUUGGUCCACUCACCUUUUCAGUUUUUGCGCCUCCUCAGGAGUUAGGAUCGAGGCACAUGAUCCCGGCAUCAUGGCAUGUUGAUAUAGGUAUCCUUGAAUCUUCUUAGUGUAGGUAUCAUUCCCUUAUUCAUAUCUUUUUAUAGUGAUUCUUUCCUAUUAUUUCUAAUUAGUUGUAUGCUCUGAACAAAUUCCUGCUUUGGUAUAAUCGUUAUAACUACUUAUCUUGUAAUUGUUUGCAUGUUUAAAAUGGUUUCGUCACCUUUGGGCGUGGGCUAGCACGUGCCUACCCUGGUAUGUUGGGGUAUCGGGGUUGGGGCGUGUCAAAGAUAGAGAGUGAAUUUCUAGCAGAUUCAAUGGUUGUCUACAUUUUAAAAAGAGCUUGCCGAAAAGAUUGAUUCAGAUGAAAUAACAAAGGAUUUCAAUUCCAUUAAGGAUUGAAGGGCACAACUUGAAUAGGUAUUUUUCUUUUUAUUUGUUAGGUUGUUAUGACAAGAUUGACGAUGUAUGUUUCUUUAUAUUGUAAGUUGCAACUUUAAAGGUUUUCUUCGUUAAAUCUAGUUGAAACUUGAUUCAUUUAGAGUUAAAUUUCUUACUUCAAAUUGUUGCUUUUAGGCUUAUUAUUGUGUAACUUUAUGCAAGCAACAAAAAAUUUUAACCAUUUGAUUUUGUACUAAUAAUUUUAGCUUAGCAUGCCACCAAAUAAUUCAUGUCUCCGCUAUUGAAAUCUUAGCAUGUGCAAUUUCAAAGUCUCGGUUGCCAAGUCUCCCCAGGCUGUUCAGCACCCAUUCUGAAUCUUGAUCGAGAUCUAGAGCAGUGCAAGUCAAGGAGUCUUCAUUCUCAUUUGAAACAAUGCUAAAAUUAUACCUCAGCUUGGACUCCUUGGGCAAAAUAUACCCAAAUGUAUUAAUAAUUUAAUACUACUUGUGGAUGCACCACUAGUCCAAAAAAAUCACCUCUCCUUUCUUAAUCUUCAAUUGGUGAGGGUCCCAAUCAAGCGUGAAAGGCCCCGGCGCACGGUUGGCUUUAGUUUCCCAUGAUGAAAUCGACGAAACGUGGCCAUUUGUACGGUUGACACCCAAUUUCAUGCCCGGCAAAAAGGUGUCAACUGGUAAUCAAAGCUUUACGUUCACUUCUUCUUGUACAAAAUUUCCCGAAUCCAAAAGGAUAGCCACAACAGUAGCAAUACUGUUACUUAUGUUGGUAGACCUAGUAGUUUGUGGAGCUGAGAAAAACACAAUUGGAUUAGGAUCCCUCCCGCAUAAUUUUCAAGGUUUUAUUCCUGUCCAAGGCAAGAGUGCGUACAAAAUAGGGGCUUUACGGUUGCAAAUCCAAGCAAUGUUGCCAUCGGCCUUGUUGCUCUGGAUAGAUACGUAGCUGGUGCUUUUGGAACUGUCGUCGUGUACACAGGAACUGAAACUGAACUUCUCCGAUGCAGAGACCAAAGAACUUGAGGAGUUGAGAGUGUCUCCUGCUGGUUUCAGUGUGUCCUUGCACUUGCAGCAUUGUGACAGGUCCACAGUCAGCAUGCAAAAAUGAUUAAGUUGAUUAUUGCCAUGAUUAAUUAAUGACCAUAACAUGAAGUUUAAUUUCUCCAUAUGAUGAGGAAGAAAGACAUGAAAUCCAUCACCAGAACAUGAUUAAGAAUUUAAUCAAGCAACGCGUCUUAGUUAAACCAUUACAAUCAUUGUACAAGGCAUUUAUAAAUUAAAAAAAAGGGAAUAAAGUAAUAAUUGUUAGAAUAAGAAGAAAAUGUAGUACAACAAUGGAGGAUAUGCUGCAAUGACUAGAGUGAGAGAGAGAGAAAGAAGAGAGCAGAGAAUAUGACACUGCAAUUCUUUUCACACGCAUUGUUUGAUUGCUCACUUAGUGAGAGAGGAACAUCUCUCUACACUUAACAGUUACACUUCCAAACUUUUGGCAGUAUUCAAAAUUACAUCCAAGUAAUCCUAGCCAUCCAUCUUACACCCUAUGAGAUGAAGACACAUGUACACUCACUUACUUAAGAACUAUGAGACUUAGAUAAGAAAGCAUACAACCAAUUUAGCUAAUCAUCCUAGCAAUAUAAGCUAGAAAUACAACUACCACAUCAGAUCACAAUUUACACACUAACAGCCCCCUUUAAAUUGUGAACUGAUUUAACUCCAAGAAGUUCCCUCAGAUAACUGAAUUGUUCUCUUGCCAAUGCCUUUGUAAAGAUAUCAGCAAUUUGGUCUUUCGUAGGACAAUGCAACAGCUCAAUUACUCCUUGCUGCAAUGCUUCCUUUAUGAAAUGGUAUCUCCUGUUGAUGUGCUUGGUCUUCUGAUGAAAAAUAGGAUUUUUAAUGAUAGCUAUGGCUGAAGUAUUAUCACAAUUCAUUGGUGUUGCAACUAUUUGCAUUUCACCAAAGUCCUCCAAAACAAAUCUCAGCCAUGUAGCCUGUGCAGUUGCUUCAGAUGCACUAAUGUACUCUACUUCAGCUGUUGAUAAUGCAACACAUUGUUGCUUGACUGAAGACCAAGAGAAAACUCCACUGCCAAAGGUAAAUGCAUACCCCGAUGUACUUUUCAUAUCAUCUUCUGAACCGCUCCAGUCACUGUCACAAAAUCCCAUUAAGAUUGCUCCUUUGCCUUUCUUGUAUUCCAAGCCAAAAUCAAGAGUCCCUUGAACAUAUCUUAGUACUCUCUUUGCUGUCCCAAGGUGCUUGUUGGUUGGACAGUGCAUAAACCGUGAUAGCAGACAUGCAACAUACAUUAUAUCAGGUCUAGUUGCUGUGAGAUACAGCAAACUGCCUACAAUUUGUCUAUAUUGAGCUUCAUCCGUAGUCCCACUUCCAUCCUCUUUUCUCAAUUUAUCACUUGGAACCAAUGGAGUACUCACUGACUUACAGUCUUGAAGUCCAAAUUUCUUCAGUAGAGAAGAAGCAUAUUUUCUCUGAUGAAUGAAAAUAUACUCCUCAGUUUGCAUUACUCCCAUACCAAGAAAGUGAUGUAAGAGUCCAAGAUCAGUCAUUUCAUAUUUGAGCAUCAUAUUAGAUUUAAAGUCAUCCAUCAAUUCCUGACAACUUCCAGUGUAUAUUAUGUCAUCAACAUAGAUAGACACUAUAAUCAUUUCUGAACUUUUCCUCCACUUGGUAUACAGAGUUGCUUCGCUAGUGCUUUUCUUAAACCCACAGAGUGUAAGAUAUGAGUCUAUUUCACCAUACCAGGCCCUUGGUGCCUGCUUCAGACCAUACAGUGCUUUAUGUAACCUGUAGACCUUAUCUUCUUCCCCUUGUACAAUAAAUCCAUCCGGCUGAUCAACAUACACUUCUUCUUCUAGUACACCAUUCAAGAAUGCCGAUUUUACAUCCAAUUGAAACAACUUCCAUUUGUUCUUUGCUGCCAGGGCAAUUAAUGUUCUGAUUGUAUCCAACCUUGCCACAGGUGCAAAGGUUUCAUUAUAAUCAAUUCCGGGCUUUUGUGCAUAGCCUUUUGCAACAAGCCUAGCCUUGUUCUUUUGAACUGAUCCAUCCAAAUUCAAUUUAGUUUUGUACACCCAUUUCACACCAAUCACAGGUUUAUCAGAUGGUCUUUUCACUAAUUCCCAAGUCUUAUUUUUCUCAAUCAUGCUGAUUUCAUCUUUCAUAGCUUUCUUCCAUGCUUUAUCCUGUGCAGCUUCAUAAUAGGAUUCUGGUUCAACAAUACACAUGACAUCUUUCAUAGAUUUCACUCAAACUUCUAUAUCUCAAAGGAGUAUGAUCAAUCUGAGAUGCAAAAAUUGAGUCACUAGCACUUCCAGAUUCAAUGAGUGGAGAAUCUGUAAGUUGAGUCUGAGAACCUUCAGCAACAGCUUGUUCCAUGGAAUCCGAAUCCUCAUCAGCUUCUUUCAUCUCUGAAGAUUCACUUGCAGCAAUUGGAAUGUACACUUCUUUGAUCUUCUAUCUAUCCCAAUCCUAUGUACCAUUCUCAUAAAAAAUAACAUCUCUUGAAAUGAUUACUUUCUGAUUUUCAGGAUUAAGCAAUCUGUACCCCUUUUCACAAGUGCCAUAUCCAAUAAAAAUACCAAUGACACUUGUUUCAUCCAGCUUCUGUCUCAGGUUUCCAGGAAUAAGGGAAUAACCUAAUGAGCCAAACACUCUCAAGUGUUGAAUUCCAGGUUUUCUUCCACUGAAUUUCUCAAAAGGUGUCACAUUUUCCAAUACUUUUGUAGGACAUCUAUUUAGCAAGUAGACAGAUGUAACUACAGCUUCACCCCAAAGACUAUAAGGAAGACCUUUCUCAUGAAGCAUACACUUUGCCAUCUCCACUAUAGUUCUAUUUUUUCUCUCUGCAACUCCAUUCUGUUGUGGAGAGUAUGCAACAGUAAGCUGCCACUCCAAACCCAAAGCUUCACAAAACUGUUCAAAUUCAUUUGAGGUAAAUUCUUCUCCUCUAUCUGUUCUCAAUUUCUUCACUGAAAAACCACUUUGAAGUUCCACCAUAGCUUUGAAUUUCUUGAAUACAUGAAAGACAUCUGACUUGUGUCUCAAGAGAUAUAUCCAGCACAUCCUCGAAUAGUCAUCAAUGAAUGUAACAAAGUAUCGAUUUCCACUUAUGGUUGGUGUUUGCAUAGGGCCACACACAUCUGAGUGUAUAAGUUCCAAUGGCAUUCUUGCUCUCCAGAUUGACUCCCUUGGAAAGGACACUCUAUGAUUCUUACCAAAUGCACAUCCCUGACAUACACCUUCACUGUCAUGCAUUUCAGGUAACCCAAGAACCAUAUCAUGCUCCUGCAAUUGUUGCAAACUUCUAAAAUUCAGGUGGCCAAACCGUUUAUGCCACAUUGUACUAUUCUGAUGCACAUUGGUUUUCAGUACCAAAUGAUCGUUUGACUUGAACACAAGUGGAAAGCAUCUGUUCCCCUUUUGUUUCACACUAACCACUAAAUUUGUCAGAGUUCUAUCAUAAAAAAUAUCCACCUUAUAAUCACCAAAUAACAGAAAAUACCCAUGUUCAGUCAUCUGCCCAACACUGAGAAGGUUUUCUGCAAUUCCAGGUACUAACAUAACUUCUCUUAUGUACCUUUUUCCUUUAUCCGUGUCAAUGACCAAGGUUCCUUUGCCUUUCACAUCAACAAGAACCCCUGUGCCAACUUGCACUUUUGCUUUAAUACUUCUAUCAAUUUCCACAAGUAACUCCUCUCUGGAAGUCAUGUGAUUACUGCACGCACUGUCAAUAUACCAGGCAUCACUCACAGCUUUCACUUCAGUUGAUUGCUUGACCAUGAAGAGAUUUCCAGGUUCCAGGUUCUCCCACCUUGUUUCUAAAAUUUCUUUGCUCUCCCACUUUGUCUGCAAAAUUCCCUUGCUGAGCAUUUUUGUUUUGAUUGCAGAUCCUAGCAAUAUGACCAGGUUUUCCACACUUGUGACAUUUAAUCUUCCCUUUUAGCCAACAUUCACCAUAGUGAAGUUUAUCACAGUAUUUGCAUGCCCCUCCAGUGUUGUUAGCUUCAUUUCUUACACUUGGAGUAAACCUGUUAGUCCACUGCUUCCCUUUGAACUUGAAGUUCUUCUGAUAUUUUGAUCCACCAGUAUUGGUAUGUUGAUUACCAAAUUUACUAUUCUUAGAUGAGAUAUAUAUCUAAGCUAGCAAAUGCACGUUCUGUGCUACUCUCUUCAUGUCUGAUUAAUCUUAGUUCAAACCCUUUCAAUAUGGCAACCACAUCUUGUGCAUCAAUUACAUCAAUAUCUUUAGUAUUUUCUAUAACAGAAGCAAUGCUAUCAUAUGUUUUGGGUAAACUGAUCAAUAACUUUUGCACAAUUCUCUGAUUACUAAGAUCUUCUCCAUAGCUUCGCAUCUGAUUUAUCAGAUCAAACAACCUAGCUAAAUAUGCAGCUAGAGAUUCACUUUCACUCAUACGGGUAUAUUCAAAAUCACGACGCAGACCUUGUAAUUUCACAGAUCGUACCUGUUUGUCCCUACACAUACUCUUGCUUCAGAAUAUCCCAAGCUUCUUUUGCAGUUUCCAAGGUUGCAAUGCGUGGAAAAAUUUGAUCCGAUACGGCUCCCUGAAUGAUUCCAAGAGCCCUUGCAUCCUUGACCAGAUUUUCACUCCGCAACUUCGUUUCCACCUCAGUGAGUUCUCCUUCCCCUUUCGCUGAAGUGGUAAAACCUUUUUCAACAAUAUUCCAUAACUCGUGAGAUCGGAAGAUUGUUUUCAUUCGAAUCUACCAGAAAUCGAAAUUUUCUCCGUUGAACACCGGAGCUCGAAGCUCCCCUCCACCAGAUCCAGCCAUGUUAGACUUAGAUCACACCUCUCUCUACUAUUUUCUUUGCAACGAUGUGUUGCAAACACUUGCUCACUAUCUCUCACAGAAUCGACGCCCAGAGAUUCAGACCCAACAAGGCUCUGAGGCCAUGUUAGAAUAAGAAGAAAAUGUAGUACAACAAUGGAGGAUAUGCUGCAAUGACUAGAGUGAGAGAGAGAGAAAGAAGAGAGCAGAGAAUAUGACACUGCAAUUCUUUUCACACGCACUGUUUGAUUGCUCACUUAGUGAAAGAGGAACAUCUCUCUACACUUAACAGUUACACUUCCAAACUUUUGGCAGUAUUCAAAAUUACAUCCAAGUAAUCCUAGCCAUCCAUCUUACACCCUAUGAGAUGAAGACACAUGUACACUCACUUACUUAAGAACUAAGAGACUUAGAUAAGAAAGCAUACAACCAAUUUAGCUAAUCAUCCUAGCAAUAUAAGCUAGAAAUACAACUACCACAUCAGAUCACAAUUUACACACUAACAAUAAUUACAAGUUUUACACAAGUGACCAUUUAUUACAAUGGUGGAAAGGUGUUAAAAGCUUUUGCAUGACGGUGUGAGUUCGAACCUCGUCGGUUGUUAAUCUACAAACCCCGUCGGUAGUUAAUCUAACUUCUAAUCUAAUAAAAUCUAUUUUUUGACCAAAAAAAAAUAAUUACAAGUUUUACUAAAAAUUUAGGGGUGUGAUAUCUACACACCCCUUUUUACUUCUCUCACAUCUUUUUGAUUUUCGACCGUCGGAUCGGAUGAAUUGAAGAAGAUCAACGGACAGAAAUUAAUAAGGAUGUGUGAGAAGUAAAAAAAGGUGUGUAGAUAGCACACCUCAAAAUUUACCGGAAGACUUGAUCACCCAUUUGUAUGCUGACAACGGUGACUAGAUUCACAACCUCUUUCCCACGUAAAUCACAUCAUCCAAUUUUAUUUUUCUUACAACAUAUCACGUAUCUGUCAUAUGUAAGACUUUUUUGGAAUAUGGAGCGUGAAAUUGCAGCGGAAGCAUCCUAGAUUUUUGAUCGAAUAUUGAGUUUGGUUUCAUGACAGACUUCCUGGAUCAAACACACCCUAAAAAAAUAUAUAAAAAACCAAUAAGGUCAUGGUGAUACGACAUCAUUUUAAGAGGAAAGGUAAAAACAAUCUAGUUUCUAUACUAGGAAGAUUCACUCGAACAAAUUCUUGGAAACUAUGACUCAAACAAAAUUCUAGGAAUUCAGUAUUUUUAACAAAUGAUAAACGUUUAAGAUAUAUUCUUUAUAAUAUUAGAGAAAUCGAACGGUUGAUCUAUAACUCGCAAAGUGGUUGUAGCUCAAGUAAUUUUACUCCCCAAUUUUACAUAAAACAUAAAAUAAAAACAAAUCCUAAUUUACAUGGUAAUUUUUUUUCAUAGCUAGGGACAACUUCGACUAUGGUAAUGCAAUUAAUAUACACUAGUUUUGGAUGGAGAAGUUUCAAGAUUGAGCAUGGGAUGGGGAGGGGCGAGAGACUUGGAUGGAGAGUGAGGUUUUAUGAGUUAAACAGUGAUGCAAGGAUGUAUUACUUAAAACUUUAGAGACCGUAUGUUGGGCUAUAUAUAAUUGUUUAACUCAUAAACGUUUUGAGUGUUUCUAACAUAUGCUUAUCAAAAGCCUUCUCGUUCUAUCAAACAAUACGAAAAUUUUCAAUUGAAUGCAAGACAUACUAUUUUAUAUAUCACAGUACUUCAUGGAUCAUCAUCAUCACAUAUCCUUAAUUCAAAGGUAAUAAAUGAGCAUCUAGUUUUAUUUUUAUUUUAUUUUAUAUAGGGACUACAGAAGCAAGCACCCUUUGUAAAUUAAACUCUAAAACUUCUCAAGUAUCUUGAAAGGUGCCAAAAGCCAUCAGCCAACUCCAGUUGAUGCAUAACCUCCUACAUUUACAAAAACAGCGUCGCCGUUAAUUUAUUGACUUCUUCCCAGGACACAUACCAAUUUGCGAAAGUGGUUUGACUGAUGCUAAUUAGUCGAGUAAAGUACAGUCUUUUCAAUUAAGCAGAUGCAAAACACUUAGUUGAGGCACUACAAAUAUGAUUUUUACCUUUAAUUAACGCGCUUCAAAAUCUGAACUGGACAUGUAGUUUGCUGAAGCAACAGUUUCAAGUUGCUGAUUCCCACUUAUACCAGCCUCCACCGUCCUCCUUCCAACAAAAAAUGCUGGCUUUGUUGGUGAUGCUAAUCGAAAGCUUUCAUUUGUCAACAUAGAUAUGACAUCUGACAUGGUAGGGCGAUCUGCUGCAUUUUCUUCUACGCAAAGCAGACCGACAUGGAUGCAUCUUAACAGUUGCUCUUUAAUAAACGAAUUUCCUAAUGUUGGAUCCGUUAAUUCUAGCCCUGCACCUUUUUUCCAUAACUCCCAUGCCUGAAGAACAAGGAUUGCAUUUCAUUCUAAAGAAGAAAAAAUAUGAUUAUAAAUUUUAAGAGAGAGAUUUGUUUGUCAUACAUAUCCUACUAAAUUGAGUGCGCGAUCGUCAUUGUAAAAGCUGUUGUUUUUCCUUCCACUUAUGAUUUCAAGCAUCAAUACCCCGAAACUGUAGACAUCAGACUUUACAGAAAUAAUUCCCCCCACGGACUCUGGAGGCAUGUAACCACUGCACGAAAUGAAAAAGAAAAUUAGUCAGUAUACUUAUCUGGAAAAAUGCGUGUUUAGCAGUCAAAAGGGGAGGACCACGUCAAUGUGAUGCAGAAAUACUUACAGUGUCCCCACAACCUUUCUAGUGUUUGCUUCCAAUUCAUUUUGGGUGAAAAUCCUUGCCAUACCAAAAUCUGAAAUUUUUGGGUUCAUGUUUUCAUCAAGUAGUAUGUUACUAGCUUUUACAUCUCUAUGAAUUACUUUCUUUCUUGAGUAUUUGUGCAGAUAAAGCAACCCUUGAGCAAUUCCUUCGAGAAUGCUAAAACGCUUCUUCCAAUCUAGUAGUAGACCUCUGAUUGGAUCUGUCCAAUAUGUAGAGUUAAGUAGGACUAAUAUUAAUUAAUAGUAGUACUCUAUGAACUUUGACAGUAAAAUAAAAAUCAGAUAGUAAAUUUAACAAAUGAAAUCAAGUAUCUUGGUUCCUCACCAAAUAAAAAGUGGUCCAAACUUUUGUUCUGCAGAUACUCAUAUAUCAACAUCAUUUCUUCACCAUGAAUGCAAAAUCCGAAAAGGUGAACCAGGUUUGUAUGUUGGAGUUCAUAUAUAAGUAUCAGUUCAUUCUUGAAUUCUGAUGUUCCUUGCCCUGAACAUUUCGAAAGCCUCUUCACAGCUAUUUCUUGUCCCGCCGCCAAUUUCCCCUGAAUUGAUAAUCCAUAUCAUGUUUUUGCUGUCAUCUUUAGGCAAAUGAAGCUAAUUCCUUUUUUUUUUCUUACAGCUUUUGAAUUAGAACUUGGGAGCAGCCUCUCCAUAAAUGGGGGUAAGGCUAGCCGACAUUCACCUCUCCCAGACCCUGCGUAAAGCGGGAGCCUUGUGCACUGGGUACGACAGCUUUUGAAUUAGAAGCAGAAAUUUUUUUUUUUCAAAAUGUUACCUUAAACCGGUCCAAACCCUCCUUGUCCUAGCUUGUUUUCUUCAGCAAAGUUGCUUGUGGCAGCCACGAUGGAUGAAUAGCUAAAAACGCUAAAAUCAUGAUGUCGCUUAGAUUUCAUGAAGAUAAUCAUUUCGUUCUCAAUCGUUGUCCGGUUCUCACCUAUACAGAUCAAUUAUAAGAAAUUAAAGUUUCAAUGGAGACAACAAUUGUCAAAGAUGUGAUUAAUAAUCCUGUCUUAUGUUGGAUUAUGUGGCCAAGUGGCCAUAUACUUUAGAUUAAACAAACCAAAGGUGGACAACACCUUUCCUUGUUUUGGGGAGGAAAAUAGGGAAAAGGUUUUUUGUCUUGGUCCAUGGGAAGUCACGGUUGAGGUUUUGAAUAAUAAGUUUUGGUUGUAAUGAGAAGUAAGAGUGGGAUAGAAGAGAAGAAAAUAGAGUGCAGAAAAUUGAGAGAGCCGAAGAGAAGAGAGGGAGAGAAAGAAGGUACUGCUACAGUACCAUUUUCAGAGAAGGGGUUGUUGUUCCUUUCAUUGGAUAAUUCUCACUCCAUCAAAGUGUUAUUGUUGUAAUAGCUUUGAGCUUUGUAUAGAGAAGAAAUUAAUCACUAUAUUUCUUUCUCUAUUUGUUUCUUUGGAGUGUGAGUUAUUGGGUUAUUUGGGUUGUGAGAUUGCCAACACUUUGUAAACUCCCAUUUGGUUGAUAGUGGAUUCUUGGGUGAGCUCCUACUGCUCCGAGGACGUACUCUAGUUACACUGACUGUUGAGGAACCUCGUUAAAAUCUUGGUGUCUUUAAUAUUUUGUUCUUGCAUUUUAUUUGAUAUAUUUCCUGUGGGUUAGCUUGAGUUGGUUCCACAAGGGUUUGGUGCUAUCCUAGCACAACAAUUGGUAUCAGAGCACUGGUUGCUCUUGGGUACUGUCUAGUUGCCAAAAAUGUCAGACGGGCAAGAUGAAAAUCCUUUUGGAAGCAGCUCCGGGUUUGCAAGAACGACGGUGCAAAAUGCAAAGUUCGAAGUGGAAAAGUUUGAUGGCACACAAACAACUUCGGGAUGUGGCAAUGUGAGGUCAAAGAUGUGUUGGCUCAACAAGAUCUACUUGCCGCGUUGGGAGAGAAGCCGGAAACUAUGUCGAAGCCGGAAUGGGAAAAAUUAAAUUUGUGGGCUUGCUCUUCAAUUCGGUUGUGCCUUGCAAAAACUCAGAAGUAUUUUGUGAUGCGGGAGACGGUAGCAAGUGUGUGUUGUGGCAAAAAUUGGAAGACAAGUAUAUGACAAAGAGUGCAGAGAACCGACUACACUUGAAGAAAAAAGCUCUACCGCUUCCAAUACAAAGAAGGUACAAAAAUGAUUAGACACCUUGAUGCUUUUAAUAAGUUGAUUGCCGACUUGUUAAAUUUAGAUGAGGAUAUUAAGGAUGAAGAUAAGGCCUUAAUAUUGUUGAAUUCCUUGCCGGACUCUUAUGAGCAUUUUGUUACAACUAUUAUGCAUGGUAAAGAAACUGUGAAAUUUGAAGAUGUGUCAAAUGCCUUGAUGAAUUAUGAAAUGAGGCAUAGAGAUAAAAAUCAUGAUAGUACCUCUGAAGCUUUAUUUGUUAGAGGUAGAUCAUCGGAGAGGAGGUCAUCUUCUAGCAGGAAAAAAUCACAGUCUCGACCUAGAGGAAACUCUAAAGGUAGAAAACCUUUGGAAAGGGAUGAAUGUGCCUUUUGUCGUAAUAAGGGCCAUUGGAAGAAAGAUUGUCCCAAAUUGAAGACCAAAGGAAAAGAAAGUUCUGAAGCUAAUGUUGCUGAGGUUGAAACAGAUUUUUCUGAUUUUGCUUUAACCACUUCCUCAUCAUUUGAUUGUGCUACUAAGUGGGUGUUGGAUACGGGUUGUACUCAUCAUAUGACUCCUCACAAGGAUUGGUUUUCAAGCUUGAAAGAGUUUUGAUGGUGGCGUUGUGUUCAUGGGAGAUGACAAUCCUUGCACAACAAAAGGGAUUGGUACAGUUCGUUUGAAGUUGCAUGAUGGCAUGGUUAAAGAGUUGACAGGUGUUCGGUAUGUACCGAAUUUGAAGAAAAAUCUUAUUUCUUUGGGUACUUUGGAAUCUAAGGGUUUCAGGUUUCAUUCAGAUGGACAGACAUUGAAAGUUACUUAUGGUGCACUUGUUGUGAUGAAAGCUCCUAGAUGUGGCCAUUUGUAUUUAUUGCAGGGAAGCACUGUGACAGGUGAAGCAUCUGUAGUCUCUGAAAAUAUGGGCACAUCUGAUUCAGAUACUACUAGAUUGUGGCAUAUGAGAUUAGGCCAUGCCGGUGAGAAAGCUCUACAAGGGCUUGUGAAAAAAUGUCUUCUAAAAGGUGCCACGACUUGUAAGCUUGAUUUCUGCGAGCAUUGUGUCUUGGGAAAGCAAACUAGAGUGAAGUUUGGUACUGCUGUACAUCAGACGAAGGGCAUUCUUGAUUAUGUGCAUUCGGAUGUUUGGGGUCCUACAAAGACUCCCCUCUUUGAGUGGUAGACAUUGGUUCGUGACCUUUGUUGAUGAUUAUUCAAGAAGGUCUUGGGUCUACACUAUGAAGCAUAAGAGUGAGGUGUUAAGCAUUUUCUUGGGUUGGAAGAAAAUGGUUGAGAACCAGACUGGGAGAAAGAUUAAGAUUUUGAGAUCGGAUAAUGGUGGUGAAUACACAUCCGAUCCUUUCUUUAAAGUUUGCAAAGAGGAAGGAAUUGUGAGACAUUUCAGUGUUCGGGGAACUCCACAACAAAAAUGGAGUUGCAGAAAGAUUGAAUCGAACCUUGCUUGAGAAAGGUUAGAUGUAUGUUGUCUCAGUCGGGUUUAAGCAAGUCAUUUUGGGCAGAAGCAGUUAAUUAUGCAUGUCACAUCAUCAACCGGUUACCCUCAGCUGCUAUUCAGGGUAAGACACCAAUGGAGGUAUGGACUGGAAAACCUUCUUCUGAUUAUGAUCAUAUUCGUAUUUUUGGUUCACCUGCUUAUUUUCAUGUAACUGAAAAUAAACUUGAUCCUAGAGCCAAAAAGGCUAUCUUUCUUGGUUUUAGUAGUGGUGUCAAAGGUUACAGGUUGUGGUGUCCAGAGAUGAAGAAACUGGUAAUUAGUAGAGAUGUGACAUUUGACGAAGAAAGUAUGUACAAAGUCUCUGAGAAGAAUGUGAAAGAUGUCCAACAGGUGGAGCUUGAGAAAGUUGCUUCUGGUACUUCAAAUCCUAUUUCCGCUGAUGUCGAAGCCACUACAAGUGAAGAAGUUGGAGACCAUGAGGAUGUUGAAGAAGUUGAACUUGAAGAUUCUAUUCAAGUUGAAGAGCAAGUUUCACCUCAAGAGUCUAUUGCCAAGAACAGAGGAAAGAGACAAAUUACUAAGCCAGCUCGGUAUAGUGAUUAUGUUGCUUUUUGCUCUUCCUAUUAUCACUGAAGAGAUUCCAUCCAAUUUUGAGGAAGCUAUUGAGAGUGAGGAGAAGAAUAGGUGGUGCAAUGCCAUGGGUGAUGAGAUGAAUUCUCUCUUGAAGAACAAGACUUGGGAGUUAGCUAAAUUGCCUAAGGGCAAGAAAGCUAUUGGUUGCAAAUGGGUGUAUGCCAAGAAGGAAGAUGCUGAUGAGAAAAGCAAUGUGAGAUUUAAAGCAAGAUUAGUUGCUAAAGGGUAUGCACAAAAGGAGGGCAUUGACUACAAUGAAAUCUUUUCUCCGGUUGUGAAGCACUCCUCAAUUCGCAUUAUGUUAGCUCUUGUUGCACAGUAUGAUCUUGAGCUUGUGCAACUUGAUGUAAAAACGGCUUUCCUACAUGGUGAUUUGAAUGAAGAGAUUUAUAUGUGUCAACCAGAUGGGUAUAUAGUGAAAGGGAAGGAGAAUUUGUUUUGCAAAUUGAAGAAAUCACUUUAUGGUUUGAAGCAAUCUCCAAGGCAAUGGUAUUUGAGGUUUGAUAAAUUUAUGAGAGGCCAAAAUUAUUCUAGAAGUCAAUAUGAUCAUUGUGUGUACUUCAAGAAGUUGCAAGAUGGGUCUUUCAUUUAUUUAUUGAUAUAUGUUGAUGAUAUGUUGAUUGCCUCAAAGAAUGUCGAAGAGAUUGAGAAAUUGAAGAAGCAAAUGAAGAAUGAGUUUGAGAUGAAGGAUCUUGGUGAAGCGAAGAAGAUCCUUGGCAUGGAGAUCACUAGAGAUAGAGCAAAGGGUUUCGUCAGUUUGAAUCAAAAACAAUACCUUGAGAAGUUGAUUCGGAAGUUUGGAGUUCAUGAUUCAACCAAACCGGUUAGUACCCCUUUGGCUCCUCAUUUUAAAUUGAGUUCUCUACAAUGUCCUAAAAUCGAUAAAGAGAAACUGCAAAUGAAAAAUAUACCAUAUGCAAAUUUGGUUGGUAGUUUGAUGUAUGCAAUGGUAUGCUCUAGACCGGAUAUUGCUCAUGCAGUUGGCAUGGUGAGUCGAUAUAUGCAUAAUCCAAGUAAAGAGCAUUGGCAAGCAGCUAAGUGGAUAUUGAGGUAUCUCCAUGGUACUCGAGAUGUUGGUUUAUGCUUUGAGAGGGAUGACUCUGGUAUUGGUCAUUUUGCAGUUGGUUAUGUUGAUUCAGAUUAUGCAGGUGAUCUGGAUGGAAGGAAGUCUACUACAGGCUAUGUGUUUACUAUGGCUAAAGGGCCAGUUUGUUGGAGGUCCAUUUUGCAGUCGUCUGUUGCCUUGUCUACUACAGAGGCUGAAUAUAUGGCAGUUGCUGAAGCUAUAAAGGAGGCCAUUUGGAUACAUGGGCUUAUUAGAGAUUUGGGGGUUGAUCAGAAGCAGGUGGAGGUACAUUGUGAUAGUCAGAGUGCCAUUUAUUUGGCUAAGUAUCAGGUUCAUCAUGCGAGGACCAAGCACAUAGAUGUGCGUUAUCACUUUGUUCGUGAAAUUGUUGGUGAAGGGGAAAUCAUUCUCCAGAAGAUUCCAACUAAAGACAACCCCGCUGAUAUGUUGACUAAGGUUGUUGGUGUAGCCAAGUUUGUUCACUGUUUGAACUUGGCUCACAUUUUGCCUAUAUAAAGAAGGCGUUGAGUAGUAGGAGUUUUGGAGCAUUUGGCUCAGCAUGAGUUGUUCUCUUGCUAGUGUUUGGGAGUGAUGUUGUGUGCUAAUUGUGUUGGUUGGCUUAUCAUGGCGUUUUCGGAACUUGGCCAAGGUGGAGAUUGUUGGAUUAUGUGGCCAAGUGGCCAUAUACUUUAGAUUAAACAAACCAAAGGUGGACAACACCUUUCCUUGUUUUGGGGAGGAAAAUAGGGAAAAGGUUUUUUGUCUUGGUCCAUGGGAAGUCACGGUUGAGGUUUUGAAUAAUAAGUUUUGGUUGUAAUGAGAAGUAAGAGUGGGAUAGAAGAGAAGAAAAUAGAGUGCAGAAAAUUGAGAGAGCCGAAGAGAAGAGAGGGAGAGAAAGAAGGUACUGCUACAGUACCAUUUUCAGAGAAGGGGUUGUUGUUCCUUUCAUUGGAUAAUUCUCACUCCAUCAAAGUGUUAUUGUUGUAAUAGCUUUGAGCUUUGUAUAGAGAAGAAAUUAAUCACUAUAUUUCUUUCUCUAUUUGUUUCUUUGGAGUGUGAGUUAUUGGGUUAUUUGGGUUGUGAGAUUGCCAACACUUUGUAACUCCCAUUUGGUUGAUAGUGGAUUCUUGGGUGAGCUCCUACUGCUCCGAGGACGUACUCCAGUUACACUGACUGUUGAGGAACCUCGUUAAAAUCUUGGUGUCUUUAAUAUUUUGUUCUUGCAUUUUAUUUGAUAUAUUUCCUGUGGGUUAGCUUGAGUUGGUUCCACAAGGGUUUGGUGCUAUCCUAGCACAACAUCUUACUGGUGCACAUGAUUUAAAGAAAUAUACCAGCUGAUGCAAGGGCUGAUCUUCUUCGUUGGAGUAGAUAGUACGCGGUGCAAAGCACUAGAGCAGCAGCUAUAGAAAUGCCAAUCCAAACCCAUUUAUCUGCUGCAUCAUAAACAAUUAGCUAGCAACAUAUGCAAUCAGCGUAACACACACGCACAUGUACGCAUUAAUUGUCUUCAAUUUUUGGAUGAACUAGGUCUUGCAGGUUUCUUCCAGAAAACGAAGAAAAAUCCGAGACAGAGAGCAGAACUUAAGACAACAAUAACAAAGAUAGAGGUACCUAAUAAUACUGAUUCCACGCGUGUCACAGAUUUCCGGCUUAAAUCGGGUUUGCAGCCUCGGUAUAUAUCCUUCGGAUCAAGAAAAGAAAACCCUUUUGGGCAUUCGCAGGUUGGCCUUUUAUCUGGUUUGAGCUUACAGGUACUGUUGUAACCGCAAACACCAACGCCCAGUCGUAGGCAAAUAUCAUCCGGCAUAUACACCAGAGGACUAAUCCAGCUUGCAUUUCCAGUGAAGUAUUUCGGGUGAGAAUAUAAAGCGAAAAUCCCAUCAAAAUCAAGAGUUGCCCUUAUGUAGUUGUCCCUCACCGACACUCCCUCUGUCCCCUUAAGAGGGACUCUUCCAUCAUUUUCUCUCAGAACAGACAUGUCCCCUGAGCUGCUGAACACCAAUUCUUUGCCUUGACUACCUGGCACGUUCCCUGCGGUGGUCUUCGUGGAGAAGUAAGCUUUCUUGGCCUUAUCUGUUGUCAAGUUGACGGAAAUGAGCACGAGGUUUCCAUCAUCUUGCAAGCGCAGCUGGAACCGCCCUUUUGUGUAGUUAGUCUCCGAUUGUCUACACGAAAGCUUCCCAUUUCUCUCAAUUGUCUGUCCAGGCAAAACGGUGUCUGUAGGAUUGCUGAAGGUCUCCCACAAGCUCCCCGAGUUUUGGUGUUGAAGGACAAAGUUUCCGGUGUCAUUCAUGACCCCGUUCGCAACAGUCCCCAAGGUUAUUUCGGAUUUCCAUAUCUCUCCACCCUGAGGAUUGUUAAGAACUAGUCCACUGUUGGCAGUCAAGUUCAGAACUGAUCCCCUAGGUGCAACCAUGGGGUUGUUACCGUCGUAUGCAUACCAAACCACGGUUUUGUCUGGGAUAUUCGCAUACCAUAUCGAAAGCAAGAAAAGAUCAUUGUUUCCGAGGGGCGAAAAUCCAAACUCGAAAUCACCGGAUGGAGAAAGCCAUGAUGAGGAGUCGCCUAUAGUUGCAGUUAGAGAACUCCCAACUGCUACUCUUCCAUUAUUUUGGGAAAUCACAGAAAUUGGUAGCAAAAACAAAGAGAACAAAAGCAUCUCUACAGAAAGAGCCACUGCCAUUGCAAAAGCACCAAUUUUUCAACUUGGCUUAACUGAUUAGCUAUAUUUCUUAGUAAAGCAUUGGUCCUUGUUUAUAUCUUCAAGUAAAUGUGUGUGCAUGUGCCUGUCAUUUUCUAAGUUUUUGCCUGGAAUCAUUUUUUGAAGUCAAUGUUACCCAUCAGCCACGAUAUGACCUCAGACCUCGCUACAUCACACACAAUAAUAUCUCCGGGCCUACAGAAUAAUUUCUCCAAACCUACACAUAUCACAAGAAUUUCACUUUGAAAAAAAUAAUAUAAUGAACAGUUUUAUAUAUAAGACACCGAUACCGAUACUUUUUGUGAUAGAACUUAUUGUCUCUCUCAAUUCCUUGUAAUGUUGCAAGUUGGAGCAAUAUUGAUGUAAUUAGUAAUGGCCCGCUAACUUGCCUCUCUCAAAUCUCUUUUCAUCCUACUCUCGUCCCUCGUCCGUUUUAUGAUUCUACUUAAUUAAGCACUUAUAAGUGUUCCAAAUCAAACUUGUAACUUAAAUAAUUAAAAAUAUUUAUCACUACACUGGGGAUUCUAGGUUCCAAAAUAUAAUAUAUAAUAUAUAUGAAUGUUCCAAACCAAAAGGACAAGUAAAUACGAGCAUGACUCACGCUGCAUGUGUCGGCCAUUCAAGUCCACAAGUCAAAAUUCAACAAUGGGGCCCACAAAGAAAAUUUGAAAAAGUACAUGCAGAUUGAGGACGUAUACAAAGAAUCUGAAAACAAACCUCCAGGACCAAACAAAGACGACUAAGUCUCCAUUUCUGUAUUCACACAAACCAAAGUACUAACUGAAGUUUUUAAUGUAUGAUUACGUCAUUGGGGUAAAACACCCGAGGCCGAGUUGAGAUAAUCACAGGGUUGGGGAAUCGAGAUCCUCUCCGAAUGUCACAGUCUGGCACAAACGAACGUAGAGAUCCGAACCACUUAUUUUAAAUUCUACGGUCUUCAUUAGCCUAUCCUAUUGGCCCACAUCACACAAGGGGCCCAAAUCUUUCUCUCCCCUCUCUUGAACGGUUUGGAUAUCUCGGUCUGUCGAUUUUGGAUUGGGAGAUUCAAAGAGAAUUUGAUUUCGGGUUUGAGGUGUGGUUCGCCGACCAUUUGAAGCUCGUUGAGGCGUGGCCCAUCUCAUCCACGUCGGGAUAGCCAUUUCGUACCAAGUUGGAUCCCAGGUCAGGCCAGUCAUUUCAUUAGCCUAAGAUAGACCUGACAGACGAGGCGCUUGGAUAUUGCCUACCGCGACCAAAUGGACCCAUGGGCUCAUUAGAUGAUGAGUCUGGACCCUGGGGUGUGUAAAGCCCACCUCAGCUCGAUCCAUAUUCGGUCGAUACUUAAGGGAAGGUGGAUAUGGGGUAAAGGUAGAGUAAGCUCCAAGCCAUGUGGAGGUCAGUCGAGAUUGAACACACAUUCAUAGAAUCAUAGUAUGAAAUUCAAGUCCAAAUUUUAACACUACGAAACCGAAAAGCAUGCAACUCCGAAGAGCAUUGUUUCAGUCCAACAACCUAAACUUCCUUAAAAAACUAAGACAAAAACGACGACACUAGUAAACGGAAAAACAUGCAACUCAGAAAACCAUUGCUCUAGUCUAAAUGAGGUUCCUCAAUGCCUCAAGCUUUUCUAAACACCAUAGCCUGAACCUUUUCCUUUGCGCCUUCUUUGCUUCACCAGAAACGUUCUUAAUGAGCUUCCUUCAAAUUUGGGACGAGCAGGCAUUAGGCUGUGCACAAUGCUGUAAAUGCCCCUAGCCCUUGCCACACCCUAGGUGCGUACGCUUGCAUGUCCGACCUGAGUUAUCUCAUUACGCGCGCAGUUUGAUCUUCCCGUAUUGACAUCCCUGCUGUCUAUUCUCAUGCGAAUCCUUUUGCUGGUGACUUCAUCCGGGUCCAUUUUCUUGCUCCUCAGUGCAUGUUCAUCUGCUUUUCCCUAUUAAUAAAUAUAGGAAUCCCAUAACAAACAGCAUUUGACAAAACAGAACGUAAUAAUAACAACAAAACUUGACUUCAUCCUCAUUGCAUGUUCAUCUGCUUUUCCACUUCAAAGCAGCUGACGGCACGAUUCGUACUUGGACUCCAAGAUGUCUAGAUUAUGGAGAAACUAUCCCUUUGUCCAAAACACACAAAGAAGUGGAUUUUCCGUUUAUACCAAGUGUGUUGAAGCAUGUCCCACAUGGCCACAUCGGAAACUUGUUGAAGUUUAAAUCCUCUUAUAUAGAAAGUUCGACUACUAAUUGCCUUGAGGCCUUAAUUUUGUAUAAAACCAUACCUAUUGAAUUGCACACGUGCUUAAGUUAAGGUUAGUAUUAAUGGUAAUUAGUAGUGGGCCGCUGGUCGUCUUCAAAAAACUGGUACAAAGGGAAGAUUUAUAGAAGCAGUGUUGAGAUAAAGGCAAUUCAUCUGUUCUUUUUAGAAGGAUAUAAAUGAAGCAAGGUUUAUCUGCUCACCCGUAAUGCGGCUCAGCCCUUCAUCAAAAAGUGAAAUAUCAAAAUUACUUUUACAGCAAGAGCAAUACCAGAAGAUGUAAUCUAAAUUGUUUAUAUUUGGUUCCCUUGAAAUCCUUUUGACUGUUUCAACAUAGUAUAUGUUGGUAUUUAAAAGUUUAGAAACUUAAUACCAAUUAUGUGGGUGAUAGGUUUUCUAACUCUAUCACACCUCUAUCUCUUUUACUCUCUUUGAAAAUGGAUCGAUAGAAAGAAAAAACAGCAAGCUUCUUAAAGAAACAAGUACUUGAUAUAUUAAAAGAGUUUCAACUCUAUUGCUGAAAAUAUGGAAUGGAAUUACAAAGAGCCUUACGGAAAGGCAUUCUUAUACUUGCAAAAAACAAGAGAACCACACAAGUGGUUUUCAUAAACAAAUGCAAACAAAGACUUUCUAGACUUAGCUAGUGGAAAACUAUCCAUGCAAAAUAAAAUAAAGGGGUUCAAAGUCUUUACUUGCAGCAGUUUUAGACUAUUGAACACACACACACACACACUACUUUAUUCUAGUGGUUUACAACCACAUUUCGGCUAGCACAGAAGAGAAGCAUUAAUUUGGGUAAGUGCAGGAAGUAUGAGUCAAAAGAAACAGCUAGCAGCCCACUAACAUUGAAAUAAUGUUUUUAUUUGAACUUCCAACACUCCCCCUCAAAUCAAAACACCUUCAUUCCUAGCAUGUCAUGCAGCAGCCGGAAUGAUUCAAUUGGCAGUGGCUUUGUGAAGAUGUCAGCCACUUGUUCCUUGGUGUGACAAUAGAUAAGCUCAAUUAUCUUUUGCUUCACAUGAUCCCUCAGAAAAUGGAACCUGGUAUCGAUGUGCUUGCUCCUUCCAUGUUGAACAGGAUUCUUUGCAAGCUUGAUUGCAGACAUGUUAUCCACAUGAAUCACAGUAGAUUCCACUUGUGGAUGACAUAAAGAUUUCAACAGAUUUCUUAACCAAAUUGCCUCACACACAGUUAAGGCUGCAGCAACGUACUCGGCUUCACACGAUGACAGAGCAAUAAUUGAUUGCUUCUUUGAAGUCCAUGAGAAAGCUGUUGAUCCUAGAAAAAACACAUAGCCAGUUGUACUUUCCCUUUCAUCUUGGUCACCUCCCCAAUCACUAUCUGAAUAACCAAAUAAUUUUGCAUCUUCACCAAAAUUAUAAAACAGACCAUAGUUUAGAGUGCCUCUUAUGUACCUUAAAAUUCUCUUGGCAGCCAACCAAUGAGACUCAUUUGGUGUUUCCAUGUACCGACUCACGAGUCCAACACCAUAAACUAUAUCUGGUCUUGUGAUUGUAAGGUACCUCAAGCUUCCAACGAGGCUUUUGUACACGGUUGAGUUUACAAGCUCACCUUCUCCUUCCUUGGACAGUUUCAAUCCAGUUGCAACUGGAGUGUUGACAAUAUUGCACUUGUCCAUAUUGAAUUUCUCCAAUAUAUCUCUCAUGUACUUUUGUUGAGAGAUGUAGAUACCGUUACUUUCUUGCUUCACCUCUAUGCCAAGAAAGUAUGACAUUAAUCCAUUGUCAGUCAUCUCGAAUUCACUGAACAUGGAUUGCUUGAACUCACAGAACAUUGCUUCAUUGUUUCCUGUAAACAACAAGUCAUCUACAUAGAGACAAAUAAUUAAGAACUCCCAUUUUUCACCGUUCUUCAUGUAAACUGAAUGCUCGUAUGGACAUUUCUGAAAUCCAUUUUGGUGAAGGUAGUUAUCAAUCCUUGAGUUCCAAGCUCGUGGUGCUUGCUUGAGGCCAUACAAAGCCUUUUUCAAAUGAUACACCUUAUCUUCUUCUCCUUGUACUCGGAAGCCUUCCGGUUGUUUCACGUACACUUCUUCCUCAAGAACUCCAUUAAGGAAGGCUGACUUGACAUCUAGUUGAUAAAUUUUCCAUUUAUGAUGAGUGGCAAGAGAGAUUAGCAAUCUUACCGUGUCAAGUCUUGCAAUUGGAGCAUAGACUUCAUCAUAGUCCACUCCAUACUUCUGUUUGUAGCCCUUUGCUACAAGCCUUGACUUGUAUCAAUCCACACUCCCAUCUGCAGUGCGUUUGAUCUUGUACACCCACUUGACACCAAUAGCCUUCUGAUUUGGUGGGAGCUUUGUCAACUCCCAAGUGUCAUUCUUCUCGAUGGCAUGGAUUUCUUCCUCCAUGGUUAUUCUCCAACGAUCUUCUUCCACAGCUUCAUUGAAUGAGAGAGGCUCGUGGUCUACAUACAAGCAGAAAAAAUUGGUUUCUUCUUCUUCUUCUUGUCCAUAUAUCUCGGUGAGACUUCUUAGCCUCACUGGAGUUGAUGAGCUGCUUUCCUCACUGGAUGUAGGACCACUCCUUGCAAUUCUGUGCACUGGAGUUAUUGUGGUUAUUUGAGCAGGUUGUUGCUAGAUAGGUGGUACAACUUCUGGUUCUUCAAAAUCAGUGGAAACAAUCUUCUCUUUACUGACUUCUUUGUUGUUCCACUUCCAUGCAUCUUCCUCACUGAAGAUGACAUCUCCACUAACCACUAAUUUGCCAGUUAGUGGGUUGUAGAGCUUAUAUGCCUUUGACUCUUCACUAUAGCCCACAAACACACACUUUUCACCUCGAUUAUCAAGCUUCCUCCUCUUGGCUUCUGGAACCUGAGCAUAUGCAACACACCCAAAAACUCUUAGGUGUGCAACAUUCGGCUUGUAUCCACUCCAAGCCUCUUGUGGUGUCAUCCUCUUGACACUCUUUGUUGGACAUCGAUUCAACAAAUAAAUUGAACAAGCUACAGCUUUUGCCCACAAUUCUUUUGGCAAAUUCUUCUCCUUAAGCAUGGACCUUGCCAUGUCAAGGAUGGUUCGAUUCUUUCUUUCGGCUAUUCCAUUUUGCUGUGGGGUAUAGGCAGUAGUCAGUUGAUGCCUAAUUUCUUGCUCCUUGCAAUAUGCUUGGAAAGCAUUGGAGGUGUACUCUCCACCUCUAUUUGAUCUCACAGCCACAAGCUUGUGGUUGCUUUCAGCCUCUGUGAGUGCCUUGAACUCCUUGAAAACUUUUAGGGCAGCUGACUUCUCCUUGAGAAAAUAGACCCAAGUCUUCUUACUGAAAUCAUCAAUGAAGGUAAUAAAAUACCUAUUACCUCCAUAGGACAUAGGAUCUAACGGACCACAUAUAUCCGUAUGUACCAACUGCAGUGGUGCUUUUGCUCUCCAUGCAUCACCAACAGGGAAUGUGAGCCGUGUUUGCUUGCCAAGCACACAACCUUCACAUACUUGGCGUGUGGCUUCAAUCUGGGGUAGACCACGAACCAUUCCUCCACUUGACAGCAACUUUAGGCCAUUGAAAUGAAGAUGGCCAAACCGAAGAUGCCAUUUCCAUGACUUAUCUUCCAUUACACCGAUGUUGCAACUCCCAAUCCUUGUGUUCAACUUCAAUGGGAACAUUCGGUUCUUUGACAUUUGAACACGUGCAAUAAGUUUUCUCCUUGCAUUCCUAAGAGUGAGAAACAUAUCCUCCAUAUGUAUAAUAUACCCUUUCUGGAGCAGUUGACCAACGCUCAGAAUGUUGCUCUUCAUACCUGGUAUGUAGUAGGUAUCGAAGAUGUAUUCUUCUCUACCAUCCUUCUGGAUGAUUUUGAUCUUUCCUUUGCCUUCAACUGGCAACUUUGAGGAGUCACCAAGACUCACAGAUCCAUAAGGCCCAUCUUUGAGUUCGGCAAAAAACUCUUUCUUUCCACACAUAUGGUUGCUUGCACCAGAGUCCAAAUACCAAACAUCUUGUUGGUUACUGGAAUCAUGGUGUGCUAGUAAGACUGUAAAUUCCUCACCAGCAUUUCCACUUGAUUCUGCCAUGUUGACAUGCUCACCAUUUUUAUAUGAACAUUCACCUUUCCCAGACCCUGCGUAAAGCGGGAGCCUUGUGCACUGGGUACGACCUUUUUUUUUUUUUUUAUUCAUUGGCAUAAUGUCCAUAUUGCUUGCAACUGUGACACUGGAUAUGUGCCUUUCCUCGAGUAGAUCUGCAUUCUUGAGACUGAGCUCGAUUUUGUGCAUAGCCUCUACCUCUUCCUCGGGCUCGUCCUCGGCUACAGUUGGAUGAAUUCCCACGACGUGAGUUCCACUGCCCACGACCUCCAUUUGGUUUGUCAAUAUUCAACUUUGACUCCAAAGCUUGCUCUAGCGUUGUGGGGCUUGCAUUCUUCUGAAUGCGUUGCUCGUGAACUAUGAGGGAUCCUAGUAGCUCCUCUGCGCUCAUCGCCUCCAAAUCCUUGGAUUCCUCAAUGGCAGUCACCACAUGCUCAAACUUAGAUGUGAGUCAUGUGAGUGACUGGAGUAUCUUCUCCACAACUCGUACUUCAUCGAGUCUCUCGCUAUUUAUCCUCAUCUGAUUUACUAUCACAAUGAGCCUUGAGUGAUAGUCGGAGAUGCUCUCCCCUUCAUUCAUGUGAGUAGUUUCAAAAUCUGCUCGAAGUGACUGUAACCUCACUUUCUUGACUCGAUCUACUCCUUUGUAGAUUGUACUGAGUGUGUCCCAUACUUGCUUGCUCGUUGUUGCUUCUGCAACCUUCUCAAACGUUGAAUCUUCUAGACCCUGGUAUAGAAGAUACAACGCCUUCUGGUCCUUCUUUCGUAAGUCCUUGAGAGUGUUCCUUUGUUCUGCAGUAUAUGCGGCUUCUUGAUUGGCAGUGGGUACAACAUACCCAUUACUGACAACUUCCCAUAGCUCCUGUGAUCCAAACAAUGCUUUGAAUUGGAUGCACCAUCUUUCAUAAUUUUCUUUCUUCAAUGUGGGAACCUGGAGCUGCACUAAGUUGGACGCCAUAACUGCUGCACUUGCCAGAAUGGUAUUCUGGCUCUGAUACCAAUUGUUGGUAUUCAAAAGUUUACAAACUUAAUACCAAUUAUGUGGGUGAUAGGUUUUCUAACUCUAUCACACCUCUCUCUUUCUUUUACUCUCUUUGAAAAUGGAUUGAUAGAAAGAAAAAACAACAAGCUUCUUAAAGAAACAAGUACUUGAUAUAUUAAAAGAGUUUCAACUCUAUUGCUGAAAAUAUGGAAUGGAAUUACAAAGAGCCUUACGGAAAUGCAUUCUUAUACUUGCAAAAAACAAGAGAACCACACAAGUGGUUUUCAUAAACAAAUGCAAACAAAGACUUUCUAGACUUAGCUAGUGGAAAACUAUCCAUGUAAAAUAAAAUAAAGGGGUUCAAAGUCUUUACUUGCAGCAGUUUUAGACUAUUGAACACACACACACACUACUUUAUUCUAGUGGUUUACAACCACAUUUCGGCUAGCACAGAAGAGAAGCAUUAAUUUGGGUAAGUGCAGGAUGAGUCAAAAGAAACAGCUAGCAGCCCACUAACAUUGAAAUAAUGUUUUUAUUUGAACUUCCAACACUAUAUGCAGAGAGAACCAGAACCAAGUCCAGACUCACUCGUAAUAGGUCUCUCCUCAUCCACAACAAUAUCCCAGCUUUCCCUUGUCGUGGUUUUCCCAUAUUUGUGCACCUUACUGCAAAGAGAGAGCAAGUUAACUUGUCAAAGAAAAACCAGAACAAUAGAUGCCAAUGCAGUUCAGAAAGUUUAUUUCCCUUCAUACCCAUUUCCAAAGUGCUCUUCUCCCCAUGUCCUUGACCAACCUAGACAUGAGAGAACAAAAACAAAGUCACAUCAGAUUAAAUUAUUGAAAGAAAAAGGUUCACUUACAAAUCGACAUUAGAAUCAAGCAACCACGCUAUGAAAUACAAAUUUAAAAUGUAACAAUUUACUGUGUCUGAAAGGAAUCUGUGAAAUAAAAUAGUUAAACCCUAAACAGCACCACUGCAAAUAGCAUAAGAAAAUUAAAAUUAACCCUAAAGAAAUUGGGAGAGAAGAAUAUGAAAAGGGAAUACCUUUCGGCCCUUUGAGUUAUUGGAAAAAACCCAACAGAGCAAAAGAUAAACAAAAAUACAGGAGGAAAGAAAAUAAAUUUUCAACUUGUAAGAUUCAUACACGAACAGAUUGGCGGUCAAAAGCAUUUCGAAACUCAGAGCCAUCAAGCUUUUUGAUCUGCAUGGAAAUUAUUUAUGAAGUUUGAGAUUCUUAUAGAUGCUUUAGACACAUCGACAUAUUGAAAAAGCAAUAUUCAACAACCUAGUACCCAUGCUCCCUAGAAGGGUACAGAAAAUAUGAAUGUCUGGACUCUGGAGUGAGAAAGUAAAAGGACUUGCCGCAUACUUCAUAUCUUCCAAGUUUGUGUAGUCUACAAUCCCUGUUGUGCCUACAAAAAAGGCAUAGGACAAAAGCUAAAUCAAUCGAAAUUCUGAUGUCUCAUGAUCUAGGUCUUAGGAUUAAACUACUGAAAUAACACUACAUGAAAUAGCUGUGUAUAUCCCAAAAAAAGUAUGAAAUCUGGUUGAUAAUUGAAGACUUCGAAGGGAUUUACCUUUGGAUUCUUUGGCUUUCAGAUGGAGUUUGCUUAUGUGUGGGGGAGAGAGGUGGAGCGGCUAGGGCUUGAGUAUGGAAGAGAUGAAAAAUGCAGAGAGCACCUGUUUUCGCUGAAGCAACUCACACACUCUGGACAAAUCUGCAAAUGUCUAAAAGGGGGAAAAUAUAAAAAGAAACCUUAACAACUGAAUUCAAAGAAACAUUAUUACAUUGUAAAUAACAUUUCACAAAAAAAAAAAAAAAAAAAAAAAACUGAACUAAACUAAUUACACUCGGAUUGCAAUGCUAUCAUUUAAUAAUAGGAAUUCCCAUAACUUAGCAGAAGACCUGCAUCUGCAAAGGAUUCUUUAAAACCUAUUUUUUUUGAACAACCCCGCACCUACAACACAUCCAGGCAAGGUAAACCAAUAGCACCCUCAUUCUAAGCUCUUCUGUGCAUAUAUACCCCUUAUAAGUAAUCUUAAUCAAUCAGUUAUCAUGAAUAUAGUCAGUUAUCACGAAUAUACAACUUAUAUUAAUUUUCUACAAUAUCCAACACACAAAUAUAACAGAAGAGGAAACUUUUACUUAAGCAGCACAAAAUGAUAUCCUUUGCAUUUCAUUCCAAAAUCCAUCACUCUUAUGUCUUUGCCUGCACAGUUUUUGCUCCAACAUAGCCCGCCAUGAUGAUAGCACUAUCAAUAAUUAAGACAUAAAGAAAGGCUAUCCUAGCUAGGUAUUAUCAUUGGAGUAAACCAACAACACCAUAAGUAAAGUAGCAGACCAAAUUUUUUCUAGAAUUGAUGUCUUAACAUGUUUAAGUAGCGAAAAGAUUACAACACAUUGGAUGUGUUAACACAUCCAUAAGCUAAUGACUCCCUCUCCGGAUCACUACAUCAUUCUUAAUGUAUUCAACAAUGCAGCAGCAAUUAAAAGUCCUUGGAAAAUGCCAAGCUACUACAAUGACAUAACGAAAAACUAUAUCUCACCUUACCCCCUUGUUGGCAUAGACUGCAUAUCCGCCCUUGUUCGGGGUGAAUCAUAAUCCUGAACUCAAUUAUCAUCAUCGUUGAGAAUGUCAAACUUUAAAUCAACCAUGCAUGGAACAAAACUUAGAAAUUAAACAAUUAUCAAAGCUUAUGAAGAAUGCUAAACCCAACUAAUUCGAAACAUAAAGUAACCCAAAAGAGAGAAAACUUAUAAAUUUUACAUAAAUUAUAAUCCUUAACAGAAGGAUGGAACAAAGCAGGUUCAUUCUUGAGAAUAGAUGUAAUUUUGCACAUUGCAUAUAUGUAGAUUAAGGCUGGUGGUAACAUACCUUGUAAUUUGUACAAAUUAGGAUUUUCAUUCAAAGAACCAUAAUAUACACAAUUACAAAAACAGUGAUUCAAACUUGUUCUUCUCUUAAGGAAAUUACUCACAGUUGAAAUUCUGAAUGGACGAAGUUUUGGCAUCCCUUUCUGACUAUAUUUGAUUAACCUUUUUUUAAUCCAAUGAGUGCCUUCAUGAGAGAGAGAGAGAGAGAGAGAGGAAUAUUAGGUGAAAUGUAUUGCCAAAUCACACAGAGAUCAAAAUCUUGAAUAUAUAUGUUUAACCAUAUCAAAGUGAGUGUGUGAAAGGGUGUAGUCUGCAGAAAGGGCAACAUUUUCACUGCUAGAAAGUUGGAAACUAAACUUUUACACAGAUAUUGGAUUUUAUUAAUUCCCUCCGCGAAUUGAAAAGCAAAUUGUUCGAGUAAUGCAGGUAAAUUCGAUAUACAUAUGCGUUGAUCUAUGUAAGACAGUUAUAAGUUAUAACUGUAUCGUCUUAACACAAAAAUGAUCAUAAAUGUAAGUGUCUGUAUUAUGGAAGUAAGGGACUUACAGCAAUUGCUAUGAGCUAUAACAGCAGUCACUCCAAGUACCCUAUUAUGGAAGUAAGGGACUUAUAUCAAUUGCUAUGAGCUCUACCAGCAGUCUCUCAAAGUGGUGCAACGGCUAAAAUUAUAAAUAAAAAGUAAUUUAAACAAUUUAACUUAAUAAAAUAUUGUAAUUUAAACAAUGCCUAUAUAUUCAAACAUCCCAAAACAGGAAUGAACUUCCAAAAAACAUGCGCAUGAAAAUAAACGGCAUUACUCACCCAUUGAGUUGGACCAUCAAACUGGAGCGUAAGAAGGAUCAUCAUGUACCUAUGAAACCCAAAGGAAACUUUUAGCAACCCCAAAGCUUGUAUGCAAGCGUGAAUAAGUAUGCGUGUAUGAAUCUAUUCAUAGUGAAGAAGGCUACCUUAAGAAAUAUUUGCAUCUGCAGCUUCAUAUGGCCAUACAACAAAAAGCAUCGCAUAUGAUAACAAACCCCAGCUGCACCACAAAAGGAAUAUGAUCUUCCUCUCAACUUGUAUUUGCAGUUGUUACUGUAACAUCUGCAGACAGCAUACAUAAGCACUGAUUCGAAAAUUCUAAAGGAAAAAAAGUCCUUAUUCGAUAAUGCACCAAAUCCUAUCCGAAAACCAAGGGGGUGCCAUAUCCCUAGAUUAACAGAGCAUCUUUCUUUGUUCCAAAACAAAUUGCAAUUGGCUUUGGUAAAGUAGAAAGAUUACCAGAUACCGACUCUGUUCCAUUAUUCGACUGUCCUUUUAGUUCUGUCUCUCAACAUGGGAAAUACAAUAAGACAGUAAAAACAAAAGUUAGUGAUGCUAUUACAUAGUGAAAGAAAAUAAGACAUUCACAUAUUGAUAGCUAUUUACUGUCCUUUCUCAUCAUAAUCUUGGCCCAUAUAUAUAUAUAUAUAUAUUGAAUUUUGAAAGCAAUGAGAGAAAUAUACCUUUGGGGCGUCACUGCCAGAAGGGUGAGUGAGGGAUCUAAGAUGUUUGAGAGCAGAAAUUUUUAAGUAAUUUGUGCGAAAAAGUUGAAGAGCUUCGAACAGAGUGGAGUGGGUUGGCCUGGGCUAAAAUAAAGAGGAUGAACUCUAGAAAGUAGAAAAUGUUGUGUUCAACCAAACUCAAAAGUAAAGAAACCAUACAAUUAACAUAUAAAUAAGUUUUAUAUACCAAUGAUUACAUGUACGUUGUUUGAGAAGGUAAAUUAGCAACAUAUACAGUGAUCAAAAGAUUAACAGCAAUAAACUGCUCAUUAUUCAAAAUAUACAAGAAAGUUGUCAUUCACAUGAUCCAAAUGGUAGAGGACAAAACAGAAGGAAGCAAAUAUUAUAGCAGCAUAAGUUGAAUAAUUGCAGCAAGUAAACAAAUAGAAAGGCUAGCUAGAUUACACAAUCCAGUUCUAGGUCAGACUAACCAUGUUAGCCAUCCGCCCACCACCAUCACCGUCGGCUUCUUAUUAAAAAUGUAGAAUAGAAGACUCAAAAACUGGAAAUGAAAGUAGGUAACAUUGAGUUUUAAUAACCAAAAAGGGACACUGUUUAAGCAGCUCCACAACAGCAAUAAUACUUGGACGAUGAGCUGCAAAAACAGAAAAGAAAACACAAAUUAAACUAAAAAAAUAUAAAAUUUAACACUAAUCCAAGGAUUAAAUAUCAAAUAUAAAGUCAUUAGGAUUGGGACCUUUGCAUUGAGGAAUAUCUACUACAUUAUGAGUUCCCUCCUGAUAAAGCCCAAUCAGGGGGUUUUCCGAUGAGCCAAGAACGGCUAACUUUGCGUGACACCGCCAUCCCCACUAACACCAAACCAAGAUAAUAUCAAGAUCAAAACUAACCAAUACCAGAAAGAUUUUUUUAUUUAAAUUUUAAGAAAAGACCUAAACUUUACGAAAUUAAGGGGGAAAACAAAGUUAAGUAAAGCACCAAUUUGCAACUGUCAAAAGUGAAAUAUGAGACUGCAACUGCCUAGAAGAACUCCGUGGCCUCAUCGACGAUGACCGGAUGGUGGAGAUUGAACUGGUGCGUACACCUGGAGCACCUGAUUAUACACCGAACAUAGAACAAAAUUUAAAUCAAGUCGAACAAUAAUUGUGAGAAAAUAAACUAAAAGGGAUUUGAGCUGAGAGUUACGAUUCGAAGUGCGGCAAUGGAGGGUGCAGGUUAGCGGCGGCAGAGGAGGGGUUGAGCUUGGGCUCAGUGAGAGAGAAGGUAGUGCUAAAGGCACUAUUUGUCAGCCAAUCAUGUAAUAGGCACACCACUUUUCUAUAUAUGACAAAAAUUAGGAGUUCUCCAAACUAAAGCAUGAAAUUAGAUUCACCAGAGAAUUGGAAAUUGCACAUGAAAAAAAUAAUAUACAUCAUGCCAUUUGUGAUUUUGAAAGAAAAAAAGAAUACCUUCUUCAGGUCCGCUUUAGUAGGUGGAGGCUCUUGAUAGAAGAUUGGCAUUGGAGUCGUUUUACAAAUCAGUUUCUUCCUGAACAUCCUAAUGUCAGCUUCUAGAGUUUCCUGUAAAAGAACAGACAACAUUCAUAAUAAGAAAAUCUCUCUCUGCAAUCGUAGAAAUCCCUCGGGUUUCAGGAAGCAAAUGGAAAACGAAAUGCUUUUCUCCCGUAUCUCUCUCUCUCACCUCUGUCCCAUCUCUCUGUCUCCAAAUCGCAGAAAAGAAACCCUAAACAAAUCCCUGAAAUCCCUCGCCUAAAUCCUCCCACAUUUCUCUCGGACACCCCCCUCUUUCUCUCUGCAAACCCUAAACCAAAUCUCCUAAAUCCUAUCUUUGACACCCCACAUACAGCCAAGAUAUUAAAGCAAUCUCUAUAUAAUACUUUGGAACAAUGAAGAAAAAUGGUACUUACUUGUUCCUUGUCCAAAACCGUUGGUGCUGCCGCACAUUGUUAUCAAUUGUGGGUUGAUCAAAUCCUUCAUGGCUUAGACUGCAUGAAGAAUUAGAAACUAAAAGAUGAAUAUAUGCCGUAAAUCAUCAUAUAAAUGUAAGUGCAUUUAAAAAAAAAAAGGGAAUGACAAAAUUGAAUUCUAUUUCAUCAGUAUGUAACUGCAUGAAAAGUUACUUUGAAUGAAGACUCGAUCAAUUUCCCCAAAGUCAUUGUUAACUGAAAAUCAAUAUCAAACCCAUAAAUACCACAUUGAAUUUGACCAAGUUAAAGGAUAAAGGCACUCGCAUCAUCGUAUUACUCUUUGGGAAGAUCUUCUAAUAAUGGUUCUUCCUUUUUCUUGCUCUUCCUUAGAACUGCCAUAAAAACCCCAGAGAAGCAUACAAAUUCAGAAAAGAAAAGGUUCAAAACUGCCAUAAAAAAAAUCUAGAAAGCAUACAAAUUUAUCAGAAAGAAAAGUUCAAAUUACAAAUACCAAAUGAUGUGAGUAAGUAGUGAGAGGUUGUGUUAGGCACCUGAAACACGUUUUGGUUUCAAUUGAAAGGGCCAGAGACAACAUCCACAUUCUUUUUUCUUGGGUGAACUAACCAAAUCAUAUUAUAUACUAAAACGACAUAAAAAAUCAUUCACAAACUCACAACAAAAUAGAACAAAAAGAUUCACAAAAGAUUUGGGAGUUGAGACGCUAACAAAAACAUUUCUUUUCUAAACAAAUACACAACCGCUAAUCUGGGUUUGGUCAGUUUGACUAAAACGGUGCGCUAUUUUGCAUCUAAAUAUAGUAUAUCGCUUAAAUAAAAUUAAUAAAAAAUACACAUCCAAUGCUUUUAGUCUAAAGCUAGAAUUAGGAAUAACUGAGGAAGUUAAUGAAGGCAAAGCAGAGGGUAGGAAGCAGAACAUACCAAGAGACCAGUAGGCCAUCGGGGCCGGUCUGCCGAUGAACGCUGUGUACUGGUUGACAACGCCCAACGGAGUUGGCGCAGAAAAGAAGUAAAAGUCGAAACCACCCUCAAUGACCUUGUAGGUGAGAGAAGUCCCUCUGUAGAACACAUCCAUGCCAUUGCUGUUGAGCAGCAAAACGGAGUGCGCGUAAGCCUCGUUGCCCACAUUCCGGAGAUCCAUGUAAACUGGGUGGGACCCGUACAAAUCAGUGUUGAGAUUGAUCGCUGAGAAGUUAGUGGUGAAGAGGAUGUAUUUAUCGUUCGGGUAGAGCUUGAUCCCGUGCGGCUGAGAGUUCUCUUCGAGGCCGUACAAGGAGGAGUAUUUCGGCACUCGGGUGGAUAUCUUGAGGUCUAGUCCUUAAACACCAGUACUAGUCCAAUAAACCACUCCGCUUUUAUUGAUUUUCAAUUCAUGUUCAUUCGGGUCCCAAACAAGACUGAACGGCCCCAGAGCCGGGUUGUAGGUAUCUACAUAUGAUAUAAGUGCCCACGUGGCCAUCAUUGCGGUUGACACCUAACUUCAUACCCGGUAAAAAUGUGUAUCCAGGAUAAUCACUUCAGCCGAUCGAGGGUGAUUUGAGGUGUUUUCUAGCUGAAUUGGACUUCGACCCAAGUAUGAAAGUUGUUCCUCUUAUCGAGAUCUUCAUUCAUGUAAAAUUUGGGAAUUUUAGAAUUGUUGAAUUCUCCGGCGAGUCAGGGCUACCAGCCGCCACGUGUUUCGGCGCAUGGCCCUUUGGCCGCUGUCCCGUGGCGACUCGUGCGGUGAUGUAUGCAGGAAAACCUAAGGUUCCUCCUUAGGUUUUUCAAUGUACCAAACCCGAAUCCGCCGUCCUUUUUUCAAAAUUCUAACGUUUUCAUAGAGUUUUAUUAAACGACCUUUAAUUGUGUUUAGGUGCAUCGGUGGAGGUGACCUCAUUCUUGAUGGUUCGAGCGGCUUUCGGGCAAUGGAAAACUUGUGAGUGGACCCCUUCUAAACUUAUAUAUUGUUAUAAAAUAUUAGCCUAGCAUGCAUUCCAUAUUUCAUGAUUUGAAUAUGAUUUAUAAUAUGCUUUAUGGACUUUUAUAAUUAUGGUUUACGAAAUAGUUUGAUUUAUCGAAAUUACGUUUUAUUAGGUAUUGAAUUAUUGGAUUUGCAUAUAUGGAUUUCUAUGGUUUUCAAAUACGAUUUAUAUUACGGUUUUACGAACAUGAAUUAUUUUAUGGAUUUCAUGAAUACAAUUUAUCUUGGAUUUAUGAGAUGAGAAUUUGAGCUAGUGAGCUCCGGGUUUGAUAUAAGUUUUGAGAUAUGUUUUUGGUACUUAUCUAGUGGGUUAUCAUACGGCACAUCCGCACACCACGGGUAUAGAAUUGUAUGGCCAUAGGACACAGAUGAUGAGGAGGAGUAAGAUAUGAUAUAUUAUAUACCCCCAGUUCACUGUCGAAAGUAGUGUCAGAUAACUUCACUAGCCAUGGCUAGUGUCGGUAUGGAUGUUAUGCUAUUUCAUACAGCUUCACCUUCGGGUGAUAGACAGGUUAUUUAGCUUCACCUUCGGGGUGAUGGACAUGUACUACCUUCGGCCAACUAUGAUAGCCUUUGUUGAGUACUUCACUGACAAGAUUUACAAAUUUGCCUUCGGGCGACGGCAUUUUCAUUAUCAAGCAUUGGAUUUUACAUAUCUACCUUCUAAAUGGAUUUUCAUGGCAUGCUAGGGUUUUUCAUAAAGCCUAUAUGUAGUAUUAUAUAUGUUUUCAAAACAAGGGGUUAUUAUGUUCAUAAAUAAAAUGUUUUCCUAUUAUUAGUAUUAUUAAUAUAAACUUUGGUCCACUCACAUUUUCAGUUUUUGCGCCUCCACAGGAGUUAGGAUCGAGGCACAUGAUCCCGGCAUCAUGGCAUGUUGAUAUAGGUAUCCUUGAAUCUUCCCAGUGUAGAUAUCAUUCCCUUAUUCAUAUCUUUUUAUAGUGAUUCUUCCCUAUUAUUUCUAAUUAGUUGUAUGCUCUAAACACAUUCCUGCUUUGGUAUAAUCGUUAUAACUACUUAUCUUGUAAUUGUUUGCAUGUUUAAAAUGGUUUCGUCACCCUUGGGCGUGGGCUAGCACGUGCCUACCCUGGUAUGUUGGGAUAUCGGGGUUGGGGCAUGUCAAAGAUAGAGAGUGAAUUUCUAGCAGAUUCAAUGGUUGUCUACAUUUUAAAAAGAGCUUGCCGAAAAGAUUGAUUCAGAUGAAAUAACAAAGGAUUUCAAUUCCAUUAAGGAUUGAAGGGCACAACUUGAAUAGGUAUUUUUCUUUUUAUUUGUUAUGUUGUUAUGACAGGAUUGACGAUGUAUGUUUAUUUAUAUUGUAAGUUGCAACUUUAAAGGUUUUCUUUGUUAAAUCUAGUUGAAACUUGAUUCAUUUAGAGUUAAAUUUCUUACUUCAAAUUGUUGCUUUUAGGCUUAUUAUUGUGUAACUUUAUGCAAGCAACAAAAAAUUUUAACCAUUUGAUUUUGUACUAAUAAUUUUAGCUUAGCAUGCCACCAAAUAAUUCAUGGCUCCGCUAUAGAAAUCUUAGCAUGUGCAAUUUCAAAGUCUCGGUUGCCAAGUCUCCCCAGGCUGUUCAGCACCCAUUCUGAAUCUUGAUCGAGAUCUAGAGCAGUGCAAGUCAAGGAGUCUUCAUUCUCAUUUGAAACAAUGCUAAAAUUAUACCUCAGCUUGGACUCCUUGGGCAAAAUAUACCCAAAUGUAUUAGUACUACUUGUGGAUACACCACUAGUCCAAAAAAAUCACCUCUCCUUUCUUAAUCUUCAAUUGGUGAGGGUCCCAAUCAAGCGUGAAAGGCCCCGGCGCACGGUUGGCUUUAGUUUCCCAUGAUGAAAUCGACGAAACAUGGCCGUUUGUACGGUUGACACCCAAUUUCAUGCCCGGUAAAAAGGUGUCAACUGGUAAUCAAAGCUUUACGUUCACUUCUUCUUGUACAAAAUUUCCCGAAUCCAAAAGGAUAGCCACAACAGUAGCAAUACUGUACUUAUGUUGGUAGACCUAGUAGUUUGUGGAGCUGAGAAAAACGCAAUUGGAUUAGGAUCCCCCCCGCAUAAUUUUCAAGGUUUUAUUCCUGUCCAAGGCAAGAGUGCGUACAAAAUAGGGGCUUUACGGUUGCAAAUCCAAGCAAUGUUGCCAUCGGCCUUGUUGCUCUGGAUAGAUACGUAGCUGGUGCUUUUGGAACUGUCGUCGUGUACACAGGAACUGAAACUGAACUUCUCCGAUGCAGAGACCAAAGAACUUGAGGAGUUGAGAGUGUCUCCUGCUGGUUUCAGUGUGUCCCUUGCACUUGCAGCAUUGUGACAGGUCCACAGUCAGCAUGCAAAAAUGAUUAAGUUGAUUAUUGCCAUGAUUAAUUAAUGACCAUAACAUGAAGUUUAAUUUCUCCAUAUGAUGAGGAAGAAAGACAUGAAAUCCAUCACCAGAACAUGAUUAAGAAUUUAAUCAAGCAACGCGUCUUAGUUAAACCGUUACAAUCUUUGUACAAGGCAUUUAUAAAUUAAAAAAAAAGGGAAUAAAGUAAUAAUUACAAGUUUUACACAAGUGACCAUUUAUUACAAUGGUGGAAAGGUGUUAAGCUUUUGCAUGACGGUGUGAGUUCGAACCUCGUCGGUAGUUAAUCUAACUUAUAAUCUAAUAAAAUCUAUUUUUUGACCAAAAAAAAAUAAUUACAAGUUUUACUAAAAAUUUAGGGGUGUGAUAUCCACACACCCCUUUUUACUUCUCUCACACAUUUUUGAUUUCGACCGUCAAAUCGGAUGAGUUGAAGAAGAUCAACGGACAGAAAUUAACAAGGGAUGUGUGAGAAGUAAAAAGGGGUGUGUGGAUAGCACACCCCAAAAUUUACCGGAAGACUUGAUCACCCAUUUGUAUGCUGACAACGGUGACUAGAUUCACAACCUCUUUCCCACGUAAAUCACAUCAUCCAAUUUUAUUUUUCUUACAACAUAUCACGCAUCUGUCAUAUGCAAGACUUUUUUUUUUGUAUAACAUGAAAAAGAAGACUUUUUUGGAAUAUGGAGAGUGAAAUUGCAGCGGAAGCAUCCUAGAUUUUUGAUCGAAUAUUGAGUUUGGUUUGAUGACAGACUUCCUGGAUCAAACACACCCUAAAAAAUAUAUAUAAAAAACCAAUAAGGUCAUGUGAUACGACAUCAUUUCAAGAGGAAAGGUAAAAACAAUCUAGUUUCUAUACUAGGAAGAUUCACUCGAACAAAUUCUUGGAAACUAUGACUCAAACAAAAUUCUAGGAAUUCAGUAUUUUUAACAAAUGAUAAGCGUUUAAGAUAUAUUCUUUAUAAUAUUAGAGAAAUCGAACGGUUGAUGUAUAACUCGCAAAGUGGUUGUAGCUCAAGUAAUUUUACUCCCCAAUUUUACAUAAAACAUAAAAUAAAAACAAAUCCUAAUUUACAUGGUAAUUUUUUUUCAUAGCUAGGGACAACUUCGACUAUGGUAAUGCAAUUAAUAUACACUAGUUUUGGAUGGAGAAGUUUCAAGAUUGAGUAUGGGAUGGGGAGGGGCGAGAGACUUGGAUGGAGAGGUGAGGUUUUAUGAGUUAAACAGUGAUGCAAGGAUGUAUUACUUAAAACUUUAGAGACCGUAUGUUGGGCUAUAUAUAAUAUACGUUCCAUGGAUAAUUGUUUAACUCAUAAACGUUUUGAGUGUUUCUAACAUAUGCUUAUCAAAAGCCUUCUCGUUCCAUCAAACAAUACGAAAAUUUUCAAUUGAAUGAAAGACAUACUAUUUUAUAUAUCACAGUACUUCAUGGAUCAUCAUCAUCACAUAUCCUUAAUUCAAAGGUAAUAAAUGAGCAUCUAGUUUUAUUUUAAUUUUAUUUUAUAUAGGGACUACAGAAGCAAGCACCCUCUGUAAAUUAAACUCUAAAACUUCUCAAGUAUCUUGAAAGGUGCCAAAAGCCAUCAGCCAACUCCAGUUGAUGCAUAACCUCCUACAUUUACAAAAACAGCGUCGCCGUUAAUUUAUUGACUUCUUCCCAGGACACAUACCAAUUUGCGAAAGUGGUUUGACUGAUGCUAAUUAGUCGAGUAAAGUACAGUCUUUUCAAUUAAGCAGAUGCAAAACACUUAGUUGAGGCACUACAAAUAUGAUUUUUACCUUUAAUUAACGCGCUUCAAAAUCUGAACUGGACAUGUAGUUUGCUGAAGCAACAGUUUCAAGUUGCUGAUUCCCACUUAUACCAGCCUCCACCGUCCUCCUUCCAACAAAAAAUGCUGGCUUUGUUGGUGAUGCUAAUCGAAAGCUUUCAUUUGUCAACAUAGAUAUGACAUCUGACAUGGUAGGGCGAUCUGCUGCAUUUUCUUCUACGCAAAGCAGACCGACAUGGAUGCAUCUUAACAGUUGCUCUUUAAUAAACGAAUUUCCUAAUGUUGGAUCCGUUAAUUCUAGCCCUGCACCUUUUUUCCAUAACUCCCAUGCCUGAAGAACAAGGAUUGCAUUUCAUUCUAAAGAAGAAAAAUAUGAUUAUAAAUUUUAAGAGAGAGAUUUGUUUGUCAUACAUAUCCUACUAAAUUGAGUGCGCGAUCGUCAUUGUAAAAGCUGUUGUUUUUCCUUCCACUUAUGAUUUCAAGCAUCAAUACCCCGAAACUGUAGACAUCAGACUUUACAGAAAUAAUUCCCCCCACGGACUCUGGAGGCAUGUAACCACUGCACGAAAUGAAAAAGAAAAUUAGUCAGUAUACUUAUCUGGAAAAAUGCGUGUUUAGCAGUCAAAAGGGGAGGACCACGUCAAUGUGAUGCAGAAAUACUUACAGUGUCCCCACAACCUUUCUAGUGUUUGCUUCCAAUUCAUUUUGGGUGAAAAUCCUUGCCAUACCAAAAUCUGAAAUUUUUGGGUUCAUGUUUUCAUCAAGUAGUAUGUUACUAGCUUUUACAUCUCUAUGAAUUACUUUCUUUCUUGAGUAUUUGUGCAGAUAAAGCAACCCUUGAGCAAUUCCUUCGAGAAUGCUAAAACGCUUCUUCCAAUCUAGUAGUAGACCUCUGAUUGGAUCUGUCCAAUAUGUAGAGUUAAGUAGGACUAAUAUUAAUUAAUAGUAGUACUCUAUGAACUUUGACAGUAAAAUAAAAAUCAGAUAGUAAAUUUAACAAAUGAAAUCAAGUAUCUUGGUUCCUCACCAAAUAAAAAGUGGUCCAAACUUUUGUUCUGCAGAUACUCAUAUAUCAACAUCAUUUCUUCACCAUGAAUGCAAAAUCCGAAAAGGUGAACCAGGUUUGUAUGUUUGAGUUCAUAUAUAAGUAUCAGUUCAUUCUUGAAUUCUGAUGUUCCUUGCCCUGAACAUUUCGAAAGCCUCUUCACAGCUAUUUCUUGUCCCGUCGCCAAUUUCCCCUGAAUUGAUAAUCCAUAUCAUGUUUUUGCUGUCAUCUUUAGGCAAAUGAAGCUAAUUCCAUUUUUUUUCUUACAGCUUUUGAAUUAGAAGCAGAAAUAUUUUUUUUUCAAAAUGUUACCUUAUAAACCGGUCCAAACCCUCCUUGUCCUAGCUUGUUUUCUUCAGCGAAGUUUCUUGUGGCAGCCACGAUGGAUGAAUAGCUAAAAACGCUAAAAUCAUGAUGUCGCUUAGAUUUCAUGAAGAUAAGCAUUUCGUUCUCAAUCUCUGGCCAGUUCUCACCUAUACAGAUCAAUUAUAAGAAAUUAAAGUUUCAAUGGAGACAACAAUUGUCAAAGAUGUGAUUAAUAAUCCUGUCUUACUGGUGCACAUGAUUUAAAGAAAUAUACCAGCUGAUGCAAGGGCUGAUCUUCUUCGUCGGAGUAGAUAGUACGCGGUGCAAAGCACUAGAGCAGCAGCUAUAGAAAUGCCAAUCCAAACCCAUUUAUCUGCUGCAUCAUAAACAAUUAGCUAGCAACAUAUGCAAUAAGUGUAACACACACGCACAUGUACGCAUUAAUUGUCUUCAAUUUUUGGAUGAACUAGGUCUUGCAGGUUUCUUCCGGAAAACGAAGAAAAAUUCGAGACAGAGAGCAGAACUUAAGACAACAAUAACAAAGAUAGAGGUACCUAAUAAUACUGAUUCCACGCGUGUCACAGAUUUCCGGCUCAAAUCGGGUUUGCAGCCUCGGUAUAUAUCCUUCGGAUCAAGAAAAGAAAACCCUUUUGGGCAUUCGCAGGUUGGCCUUUUAUCUGGUUUGAGCAUACAGGUACUGUUGUAACCGCAAACACCAACGCCCAGUCGUAGGCAAAUAUCAUCCGGCAUAUACACCAGAGGACUAAUCCAACUUGCAUUUCCCGUGAAGUUUUUCGGGUGAGAAUAUAAAGCGAAAAUCCCAUCAAAAUCAAGAGUUGCCCUUAUGUAGUUGUCCCUCACCGACACUCCCUCUGUCCCCUUAAGAGGAACUCUUCCAUCAUUUUCUCUUAGAACAAACAUGUCCCCUGAGCUGCUGAACACCAAUCGUUUGCCUUGACUACCUGGCACGUUCCCUGAGGUGGUCUUCGUGGAGAAGUAAGGGAUGUUGGCAUUAUCUGUUGUGACGGAAAUGAGCACGAGGUUUCCAUCACCUUGCAAGCUCAGCUGGAACCGCCCUUUUGUGUAGUUAGUCUCCGAUUGUCUACACGAAAGCGUCCCGUUUCUCUCAAUUGUCUGUCCAGGCAAAACGGUGUCUGUAGGACUGCUGAAGGUCUCCCACAAGCUCCCCGAGUUUUGGUGUUGAAGGACAAAGUUUCCGGUGUCAUUCAUGACCCCGUUCGCAACAGUCCCCAAGGUUAUUUCGGAUUUCCAUAUCUCUCCACCCUGAGGAUUGUUAAGAACUAGUCCACUGUUGGCAGUCAAGUUCAGAACUGAUCCCCCAGGUGCAACCAUGGGGUUGUUACCGUCAUAUGCAUACCAAACUACGGUUUUGUCUGGGAUUUUCGCAUACCAUAUCGAAAGCAAGAAACGAUCAUUGUUUCCGAGGGGCGAAAAUCCAAACGCGAAAUCACCGGAUGGAGAAAGCCAUGAU
This 78366-nucleotide long non-coding RNA is filed under the name Malus domestica (apple). RNAcentral describes it as "long non-coding RNA (MDOM_LNC005216)". The record is from RNAcentral. Lineage: Eukaryota; Viridiplantae; Streptophyta; Magnoliopsida; Rosales; Rosaceae.